UUCUUUUUUUUUUUAAGAAAUUUUAAAUUUCUAAAUAUCAAAAUCAAUUAAAGGCCUAUUCUUCAUUGCUUAAAAAAAAGCACUUCUGACUCCAAAAGCACGUUUGGAAAAAAAAUUUGUGCUAAACAAGCUGUUUUUGCUAAAAUUUUUAACUUUUAGAAGUGAUUUUCAAAAGCACUUCUGAAAAGGAGAAGCUAAAAAUUUUAGUUUUUCCUCUCCCAAAAGCACUUUUGGUGCUUAAUUGCUUUUUCACCCCUCCAAUAACAUAGUACUUUCCUUUUUUUUCCUUGGUGCUUAAUUACAAAUGUAUUAAAAUCAUUAAUUAAAAAUAAAAAAAAUAUUUUUUAAAAUACUAAUUACAAAUAUUUAAUGGUUAUAUUUAAAUAUUUAAAAUAUAGUUUAUAUAUUCUAAUUAAAUUUUAAAUAAUUAAUAUUUAUUGCUUAAAAAUAUUUAAAAUUUAUAUUUCAUAUAUUAAAAUAUUAACAACAAGUUAUAAUAAUUUUUUUAUAUUCUUACUAAAAUAUAAUAAUAUUAACUAAUUUAAAUAUUAUUUAAAUGCAUAUUUGUUAUUUGAUAAUAACAUGUCUAAAAUGGACAUUUUAUUUCUCAAAAUCACUUUUUGACAGCAAUGCUAAACACUCAAAUUUUAAACUAAACUUUUUAAAAGCACUUCUCAAAAGCACUUCUCAAAAGCACUUUCCCACCACACUUUUCAAAAACAUUGUCAAACUAGCCCUAAAUAAGUUAUUGAAAAAAAUUCACUUGGCAGUGGCAACCGAUUUGUUACUAGAAUAUUGAACUUAAUUAAUUUAGUCUCCUUCAAAAUUUUAAAAUUUUAUUUUAUGUUUUCAAAUUAAAACCAACUCAAUUAAAUAAUCUUGAAUAUUCGUCUAUAAAACUCAAAUUUCUUUUGAUUAUAUGAUUUUGAGUCUUUCAUACUAAGCUAAAAUCAAAGAAAAAAAUCUUACAAUUAAUUUAAUUAAUUAAUUUAUCUUUCAUAGCAAACAAAAAUUCAGAAUUUUUCAUCACUUCUUUACCCAAACGAAGAACAAGCAAUUAAUUUAAUUAAUUGCAAGACUUUUCUUUUCUUUUAACUUAGUAUGGAACAUCCGAGAUUAUAUAAUAAAAAAUUAAUUUUUAUAGACAAUUAUUGAAUAUGAGUUAUCGAGUUGAUUUAAUUAAGAAUAAUAAGGAAACAUAAAAUAAAAUUUUAAAAUUUAGAAGGAGAUUAAUUUAAUUCAUUUUAGUGUUACAGUAACAAAUCAGUUGUCAUUAUCAAAGGAUAAAAACUUCUCAACAAUUUAUUUAAUUUAUUUUGAUGUUUUGAAAAUUAAAUUUUCAAUAUUAAAAAAAAAUUAAAAUUUUUGACAAUGUGAUAAACAAGUACAAUUUGACAAUUGUUUAAUGCAUUAUUAGUUUCUACCACUUUUUUACUUUAAUCCUUAGUUUAUUUUUUUUACCUUAAUCAAUAUUUAACAAGAAAGCGUAUUUUUUUGGUGAUCAAAAUGAAAGCGACCUAGAAGUUGGGUGACCAAAAUGAAAGUGCAAACAUGUUGUGGCGUAUAUAGUUAGGGCUGUAAAUGAACCGAGCUUGAACGAACAAACCUCUGUUCGUGUUCGUUUGUUUAUUUUUAAGCUUGUUCGUGUCCAGUUUGUGUUCGUUAAGAAGUUCAAAUUUUUGUUCAUGUUCGUUUAUUUAAAAUUAUGUGUGCUUAUGUUCGUUUGUUUAAUGUUCACGAACAUGUUCAUUUAAUUUAAUCGAACAUGUUCACAAACAUUAAAUGAACAUGUUCAUUUAACUUAAUCCAACAUGUUCACGAACAAUGUUAAUAAAUAAUAAACAAACAAACAAUAAAUACAUACAUACAUACAUACAUACAUACAUACACACACAUAUUGUUUAGAUAUAAAAUAGUCAAAUAUAAAUAUUAAUAAUUAUAUUAUAAAUAAAAGAAUACAAAUCAAGAUAAUUUUAUUAAUAUAUACUAAUGGAACAAUAAACGAGUUUUAAGAUAAUUUUAUUAAUAUAUACUAAUGAAUUUUUUAUAAGAAAAAUUCAUUAAUAAAUAAACAAAUCAUAAACAAGUCAAUACACAAGCUUAUAAACUAGCCAAUAAACGAGUUUUUAAAUAAGCUUGUUUGUGAACGUAAACGAACAGAACACACCUCUGUUUGUGUUCAUUUGUUUAUUAAACAAAAAUAAAAAUUUUGUUCAUACUUAUUUAUUUAGCUUAAUAAACGAAUGAUUCACGAACAGUUUAUCGAACAUUCUAUUCAUUUAUACCCCCAUAUAUAAUUACCUUUCGUUAAAGAUUUAAUGAUUGAAUGAUUAAAAUAAAAAUAUUUUAAAAGUUGAGUAACUAAAAUGAAAGUGUUAUUCUUUAAUCAUUGUGUACAACAACUCAAUACAAAUUAAAGUAUAAAUACAAUAUUCAAAGUUUACAUGUAAGGUCAAAGUAGAAUAGUAAAUAUGCAUGAACACUAUCAAAUUUGAUUAAUAAAAUUUCCAUUUAAACCUAUUUUAUUUCUCAGAUAAUUUUAAUUUUGUAUUACCUACAAUUUAGGUAUUGAGAAUAAUUCAUUUCUAGUGAUUGAAAUGAUGUAGACACAAAAUAGGAAAACAAUGUAGUGAUUGAGAGAAGGAUGAUGACGCAUAGAGUAACUGACUGACACAGGUGGUACGUGGCAUGGACGCAUUUCAUACUGAUAUGGGCAAUAUACUCCUCCUUCUUCACACCCCUGGAGUUCGGGUUUUUCAGAGGACUCCCAGAGAACCUUUUCCUCUUAGACAUUGCUGGCCAACUUGCCUUUCUCUUCGAUAUUGUCGUACACUUUUUCCUUGCCUAUCGCCACACUCACUCCCAUCAUUUGGUUUACGAUCGCAGGCUCAUCGCCCUCAGGUAUCUCCAUUUCCCUCUAUUCCUUCUUCUUUGCUUCUUACUCUUAAUUAUUACCCAUUCCUUUCAUUCCUCAUUCCAGGUACUUGAAAUCUCGUUUUAUUGUUGAUUUCCUUGGAUGUUUGCCUUGGGAUGCUAUUUAUAAGGUACCCAUUUCUUUUUCCUUUUUUUUUUCUUUUUCAAAAGGAAACUAGUAAUUGAUUAACAAAUUUCUUAUACAAGUUAUGUUUGUUUAUUUCCACCAUUGCAUUUCAUUAAUGUCAAAUAUCUAGGAGAAAGAAAUGUUUGACUAGUAUUGAUAAAAAUGAUAAUGAUGAAGAAUUAUAUUACUAAAUCCAACUGCUAAUUUGUUAAAUAAACAUUGAAUCAAAAAAGUAAUCAAAACUAAAAUUUGAGUGGCAAAGUUGAAUAAAAAAUUAGAAGUUUAGUUGCAAAAUUAAAUAAAUAAAUAAAACUAGUGUGGAAAAUUUGCCAAUAGUAUCAAAGUAAAAUGGUAUGUAAAUAAAAGUAUGGUGGCAAAUUACAAUAUCCAUUAUAGAUAGCAAUUUUCUCCUUUAAUCCACAUAAAUGACGAAAAAAGGUAUAGAGAUUCAACUAUUCAUAUAUAUGAAAAUUUUAAAAAAGUUUGAACAUAUAUAUUUUGGAUACAUCGUAGUAUAACACACUCAUAGGACCCAACUAUAACUACUUAACCUUAGCAUAUAUUUAGGAAUGAGUAUGAUGAUUAGUGGUCUAAAGUCAUUUUACUGUGACAAGGUUUGUGGACGAAAAGAGCCUAUUAGAUACAUGCUAUGGAUUAGGCUAAGUCGGGCUCUACGAGUGACAGAAUUUUUCGAGAAGUUGGAGAAAGACAUUCGAAUCAAUUACCUUUUCAUCAGGAUUGUUAAGCUUAUUGUGGUUGAAUACUAUUGCACACAUGCUGCUGGUUGCAUCUUUUACUAUCUUGCUACAACAGUUCCUCCUUCCAAGGAAGGUUACACAUGGAUAGGAAGUUUACAAAUGGGUGAAUAUCGUUAUUCAAAUUUCAGGGAGAUUGAUCUGUGGAAGCGGUAUAUAUUAUCUCUCUAUUUCUCUGUUGUAACCAUGGUAACUGUUGGUAAGUUUUUCAACUUUGUUUGAUUUCCAUUAGGAGAUUUUUGGUGAAUUUAGAAACUUCAAUUGCUUUUUAUUAUAUUUUGGUUUCUUUUUUUUUAUGUUGAUGAUUCACUUUAACAUUUUCUUCUCUUACCUGUUAUAUCAAUAAAGCCAUUAAUCAUUAUUUUUCUCAACUCUUUUUACUAUCAUCACACAACCAUGCAUUUCUGCAAAUAUUAGUUGGUUGAGACAUAUUCCAUCUAGUGGAUUCUUCAUCCUAGGAUGUUGAAGAUCUUAUAACCAUUGAAUAGACUUUAAUAUUGCCUCUACAUAAUGCUUGUGUUUACAAGUCACCCUUUGGUGAGAUCUAAUCAAACUCUGUUUAUCUUUUGAAGAGGGGAUUCCAUGUAUGUGAUUCUUCUUUGUAUGAAAUUGGAUUUUUAUGUACUUUCAAAAAGUUCAAUUAGUUGGUAUAUCUUGUUUCUAAAAUAGCAAGUGGAAGUGGCUCCAUAUGACUUGGGAUUCUCUAUUCUCCUUGUUGAUCAUGUUCUCUCACCUGCAGGUUAUGGAGACAUACAUGCAGUCAAUGUCAGAGAAAUGAUAUUUGUGAUGAUUUAUGUUUCUUUUGACAUGAUUCUGGGUGCUUAUUUGCUCGGUAACAUGGCAGCCUUGAUAGUAAAAGGAUCAAAGACAGAAAGGUUUAGGGAUAAAAUGGCGGACCUUAUCAAAUACAUGAAUAGAAAUAAUCUUGACAAGCAAAUAAGUAAGGAGAUUAAAGGCCACCUAAGAUUACAGUAUGAUUGUAGUUAUACUGAGGCAAGUGCUCUUCAAGAUAUUCCAGCUUCUAUUCGCACCAAGGUAAUUCUUUCAUCUUUCAUAACAUUCCCCACUUCAUAGAAACUAAAAUUCUAUAAUCCAAUGUUUAAAAGUGUUUUUUGAUGUAUUAGCAUCUUUGCUAUAAAGCUUAUCCAUAACCUUUUACCUAGAAAAACCUUUCUUUAGAAACUAUUAUGGCUUAACAAACUACAUCAUGCAGACACAUAUAUAAACUAUGUAGAGAAUUUAUCUCACUUGAAUUAAUUCAAUUGUGAAAAUACAACUUCUACAAUCUCCUAUUUAUACGAGAAAUUAUUCUAUAGAUUAUUGAAUUAAAAAAUAAGGUUAUUAUUAAUUUUAAUUUGAACUCAUUGCUACUAGGGAUAGAGUUUUCAAUCUGCAACAUACUUUUAUUCUAUUAUUGUUUUCUCUUAUUUUCAAUAUGGGUAGCAUGGAUUAUUUCCCGCGGUGAAUAUUUUGUUUAGAGCUCAAAAAAUGGAAAAUUUUUGUUGAGUUUUAAAUCAAUAACUAAAGAUCAAAAACAAAAUUUUGCGUUUGAAAGAUGAAAAACAGAAGCAAAAUUCGGAUGUUGGAUGAUGAAGAAAAUAUUGACUUCAUUACUUGAAUAAGCAAAAAAGCCAUAUACAUAAGUAGUUCAAUUACAUUAGUAAAAAACAAAGCUUGCUUGUGCAAGUAUCCAAGCUAUUAAAUCAACUUAAAGACAACCUAAAUGACUACUAAAUCAGAUUAAACCUUCGCUGAUCAAACAAAAAAGGAUUACAACCAAACUAGCAAAAGUCAACUAUUACAAAAGCUCUACAAUCGAAUUACACCAUGGAUAUUUGCAUGCUGCUGUUGUGUUGCCACAUUUUAACAUUCCUCCUUGGCUACAAGCAGCAAACUCCAAUUUUCUUCUUCAAAUACUCGAAUCUUGUAGCAGCUAGUGGCUUGGUCAGAAUGUCUGCAAGCUGAACCUCCGAGCAACAAUGAAUUAAGUUGACUUCCUUUGACAAUUCUACCUCCCUUACAAAGUGAUACUUAAUCUUGAAAUACUUGGUCUUGCCAUGAAAAAUAGGAUUCUUGGCAAUAGCAACAGCUGAUUGAUUAUCUACUUCGAUUUCUGUUGCAUCCUCUUAAUCAGCAUUCAAGUCACACAAAAGCUUCCUAAGCCAAAUGGCUUGAUUAACAGCAGUAGCAGCUGCAAUAUACUCUACCUCUGUAGUGGAUUGAGCUACUGUCUGUUGUUUCUUAGAGCUCUAACAAAAAACUCCUAAACCUAGAGUGAAGAAGUAGCCCGAUGUGCUCUUCAUAUCAUCAGCUGAGCCAGCCCAGUCACUGUCUGAAUAGUCAACCAGCUUCAGCUCCUUAGCUCUUUCAAACUUCACUCCAUAGCUUAAGGUCCCUUUGACAUACCUUAAGACUCUUUUAGCAGCUUUAAAAUGAGCUACAUUGCAGCAUACAUGAUGUCUGGCCUUGUUGUUGUCAAGUAAAGUAGGCAACCAACCAGACUUCUAUAGCUCUUCUUAUCCACACGAUCUUGAUCACUGUUGCUUGAGAGUUUUUCUCCUAGUGCCAUAAGAGUGCUAGCAGGCUUGCAAUUUGUCAUGCAAAACUUGCUUAAAACUUUCAAUGCAAAAUCUUGUUGGCUUAUAAAAAUACUAUGCUCACUUUGAUUCACUUCCAUACCAAGGAAGUAGGUCAUCAAGCCUAAAUCAGUCAUCUCAAAAACAUCUUGCAUCUGCUUCUUGAAUUCUUCAAUCAACUUACCUCUACAACCAGUAACCAACAAGUCAUCCACAUACAGAGACACAAUUAGCAAGGUUUCCUUUUCAGCCUUCUUCACAUAGAGUGUAGGCUCAGUAAUGCUUUUCUCGAACCCCAGCCUUGACAAUUAUGCAUCAAUCCUGUCAUACCAGGCCCUUGGAGCCUGUUUUAGGCCAUACAAAGCCUUCUUGAGCUUAUAGACCUUAUGCUCUUCACCAGGGACCUUAAUUCCAUCAGGUUGCUCAACAAAGAUCUCUUCCUUGAGAAAUCCAUUUAGAAAAGUUAAUUUAACAUCCAAUUGAUGUACUUUCCAUGCUUUUGAGUAGCCAAGGAAAACAAUAACCUUAUGGUGUCCAACCUUGCAACUGGUGCAAAGGUUUUAAAGAAAUCGAUGCCAUGCUAUUGACUGUACCCCUUCACAACCAACCUAGCUUUGUGCUUGUUCAGUGACCCUUCUGCAUUGUGUUUGGUCCUGAACACUCAUUUUACACUAAUUACCUUUCUGUUUGCUAGUCUAUCAACCAACUCCCAUGUGUCAUUUUUAUGGAUCAUUCUGAAUUCAGCCUCCAUUGCUUCUUUCCAACAACCCUCUCUUGCAGCCUUAUUAAAGCAGAAAGGCUCAACAAUGGUCAUACCACACCUCUCAUAGAUGUCCAUUAAGGUUCUAGUAUCUCUGACAGGUGCAUCAUCAUAUCAUUCUCAGUUUCAGCUUCAAUUUCAACAUGUUGCCAAUCAAGAUCAUGCUAGUCUUGCUCAGACAAACUUGCAUCUGUUCCAUCUCAUUUCCAACAGCUCCCUUCAUUGAAUUUCACAUCACUGCUCACAACAAUCCUCUUAGUAGAUGGAUCAAAGAUCCUAUACCCUUUCUUCACACUGAUGUAGCCAACAAAGACUCUAGGUAUAGACUUCUUCUUUAGCUUAGUUCUCUUCUUAGCUGGCACCAGUGUAUAUUAUAUACAGCCAAACACUUUCAAGUGUGAGACAGUUUGCUUGUGUCCAAACCAAGCUUCAAAUGGUGUUUUUCCUUUAACUACAUUAGUUGGCAGCCUGUUUAGCAAAUACACAGAGGUAUUUACUGCCUGAGCCCAAAAAAUGUUAGGCAUUUUGCCUUCAAACAACAGGCACCUGGCCAUAUCGAGAACACUCAUGUUCUUUCUUUCACAAACACCAUUCUGCUGUGGUGUGUAGAUGGUGGUUAAUUGGCGUUGAAGUCUAGCUUCAUCAUAAAUCUUCUGAAACUUUUGAGACACAUACACACUCCUAUUAUCUGACCUCAAAAUCUUAAACUUGCAACUGGCUUGAUUCUCAGCUAGUGCCUUGAACUUGCAGAAGAAGUCAACCGCAUCUGACUUUUGUUUCAAAAAGCUCACCCAACAAAAUCUGCUGCAAUCAUCAAUGAACAAUGCAAAAUACCUACUGCCAUUCAAAGAAGAAGUCUUCAUGGGUCCACAAAUGUCAGUAUGAACCAAUUGAAGCCUCUCUUGAGCUCUCAAACCUUGUUGACAGGAAAAGGCAGUCUGGUCUACUUGCCAAACUGACAGACUUCACAAACAUCUUUCCUAGGCUCAAUCUUGGACAUGUCUUCAACUAGGCUCAUCUUGUGCAGCAAACUUAGUGACUUAUAGUUCACAUGCCUCAGCCUCUUGUGCCACAAACAUGAUUUAUCAGCCAGAGCUGUAUGUGCCUUUUCUUCUAGCCGAUUCACAUCUAAAAUGAAGGACCUAUCAUGCAUGGCUACUUUCACUAGCCCUUUAUCAGAGGGAUCUUUGAUUACACAUGCCUUAUCUUCAAAGAUAAGAGAGUACCCCUUCUCCAACAAUUGACCAACACUGAGCAAAUUCUGGUCAAUGGCAAGUACAAAAAGAACUUCUGAAAUGGUUUUGUUACCAAACUGAGUGCAAAUCACAGCUUUGCCUUUUCCUUUGGCCUCGAUGAACUCAUCAUUCCCAAUUCUGACUUUGGACAUAAGGCUGGUGUCUAGCUCCUUAAACAUGCCUUUAUCUAAAGCUAUGUGAUGAGUGCAGCUACUGUUAAUCAGCCAAUUUUUACUGACUUUGCUUGAACUUGUAAAGCAAGAAGCAGUAAAGGCAUGCUCCUCUUGAGAUUGCACAUUUUAAACAGCUUGAGAUUGAUUCUGCUGUUGUGGUUGUAUCUUUGCCUUGUUCUUACAUACCUUUUCAAUGUGGCCUAGUUGCUUGUAGCAUCUACACUAAAUGUUAGGCCUGUACCAGUAAUAUUUUUCUAAGUGAGUGGUCUUUUUGCAAUGAGUGCAUGAUGGAAACUUCUUUUUAACAGCAUCCUUCUUCCCUUUUUCUUUCUUUUCUGUCCAAGGCUUCUUGCCUUUGUAACUUGAGCUCGAGCUUGAGCUUUCUCUGCUCCUGGCCUAAAAAGCUCCUUCAGAAUGCUCCUCCAUUCUAUUUGCUCUUCUCUGCUCUUGUCCAUAGAGAGUAUUUAUCAGCUCUAUCAAGAGUAUAGCUAAUAGGUCCCUCGAGUCUUCCAAAGAAGAGAUUUUUGACUCAUACUUCUCUGGUAGAGUAGUAAUGACCUUUUCAACUAUCCUCUUGUCACUAAACUCAUCUCUAAGUAGUCUUAUAUUGUUGACUGUGGCCAUAAUCCUGUCAGCAUACUGCUUGAUGGUCUCAGACUCCUUCAUCCUCAGAUUCUCGAAGUCCUUUCUCAAGUUGAUCAGCUGCUGCUGUCUGGUCUUGUUUGACCCUUGAAGCUCUUCUUUGAGUCUGUCUCAGGCCUACUUUGGAGUGUCACAAGCCACUAUUCUUGUGAAGAUCACAUCUGAAACUCCAUUUUGAAGGUAUGACAUAGUCUUAUACUUUUUUGGCACAGUCCUUAUUGUGCUGCUUGAUUUAAGCUAUAGUUGGAUUAGCUCUCAGAGGUGGUGGCUCUGUGUCAGUUAGAACAACACUCCACAGAUCAUGAGUCUGCAGAUAUGUCUUCAUUUUCACAUCUCAAAUGUUGUAGUUUUCACCAGCAAAGACUAGUGGUGGUGGUGGUGAAAAACUCAUCCUUUUGCAGCAACUAAACAACCCAACAAAGACAGCUUUUGUUUCUUUUCUUUCAAGCAUGAAUCACUCAAAGAAUCAACACAAACCAACACACAGCAAAGGCCCUCAAAGAUGAGAGGCUCUUGAUACCAUUUGUUGAGUUUUAAAUCAAUAACUAAAUAUCGAAAAUAAAAUUUUGUGUUUGAAAUAUGAAAGACAGAAGCAAAAUUCAGAUGUUGGAUGAUGAAGAAAAUAUUAACUUCAUUACUUGAAUAAGAAAAAAAUCCAUAUACAUAAGUAGUUUAAUUACAUUUGUAAAAAAUAAAGCUUGCUUGUGUAAGUAUCCAAGCUGUUAAAUCAGCUUAAAGACAGCCUAAAUGACUACUAAAUCAGCUAAGUACAUGAUUAAACCUUAGCUAAUCAAACAAAAAAGGAUUACAACCAAACUAGCAAAAGUCAACUAUUACAAAAGCUCUACAACCGAAUUACACCAUGGACAUUUGCAUGUUAUUGUUGUGUUGCCACCUUUUAACAGUUUUCUUACAUGGAAAGUGGUUUGGAAUGAAUCUAAUAGUGGUUAGAUAUGGGUUAUUGCCAGCAGCGGUUUGGAAUGAAGAGCUUACAUGUAAAAAAAUAUGUUUAUGUGGCUUAAUUUCAUUGGAAGGGAUGAUAUAUGUUGUGGUAAGAAGAGCCUAUCUAAUAAUUUGUCUAUUUAUACACCAUUUUGAUCCUAUCAAACUAGGAAAGCUUAACAGCAACUAGUAUCCUACAAAAUUAGAAAUCUUAUAUGAUAUAUACACUAUAUUUGAUAUAUAUGGUCCACCAAAACUCAAACACUCACCCACAUUAUCACUUUAUCCGACACUCCCCUUCAAGUUGGUGAAUGGAUAUCCUCCAUUUCGAGCUUGUUGACUAUGUCUUGGAAUACAUUAUUUGACAGUCCCUUAGUAAGUAUAACUGCUUGUUGAUCCUUAUUGAGAAGGUACAUGUAAGUCUGUUGUUGAGUUUCUCCUUAAUAAGAUGUCUAUCUACUUCAUCAUGCUUGGCUUUAUUUUGUUGCACUGGGUUAUGUGCAAUGUUGACGGUCGAUUUGUGUGUAAGUGUUUCAGUUUUGGUGGACUAUAUAUAUUAGAUAUAGGGAAUGAAGGGUGACCUAACCAACAAUGAUAAAGCCAGACUUUCUAGGUAUUGAACAUGAAAAUUUUGGAAAGGAAUGAUGUAGAUGGGGAAGUUUCAAUUCCAGCGCUUUCACCUUGGCCAUCCAAGUAAUAAAGACCAUCUCUCACUAGCUUUUUCAAUCAUUCUCCUUAUAUCUUGUUCGUGAAAUAGACAAUGCAAAGGAAAAAAAAAACAGUUACUUAGCACUUAGAAUCUUUUAGUGAGUUUUUUUUUUAAAAAAAGAUUUGCAAAAAGUUAGGAUCAUGGAGAACAUUUUUUAGAGUAAGAGAGUUAUUUAUCCAUCAAACAUGGUAAUCUUUUUGUGGCUAGACAAAGGGGUAUAAGAAGAAAAAUAUUUGAAAGAACUUAUAUGAUCUGUGGUUUUAGAAUCUAUCCCAUAUCAGUGGAGAAAAUUUUGAGGUAUUAUCAACACAAGUGGAAGAAGAGAUACUUGAAAACUCCAAGGAACGUUUUUCUCUAUGGAUCAUUUUAGGGUUGCAACAUCCUCACUAUAACUCAUCUGUAUGCACUGAUAGGAUCAUUUUCCUGCCACAAACCUUGCAAGAGACUCAAAUAUUUCGUAAUAGAUCGAUUCCCUUGUUUGGUUCCUGAAAUUUCUUCUUUAACUUCAUAGAUUUGGGUAACAUCAUGGACCUUUACAUAUGUCUGCCAAAUAGCAUCCCAAAUGUCUUUGGCAAAGGCAAGGAACAUAUGUGUAUCACUAAUCUCUAAAAGCAUCGAAUUCCAUAACCAAGACAUCACCGUGGAAUCUUGUCACUCUCAUGCCUCAAAUUUAGGAUCUCCUUUUGGAGAACCUGUGCCCAACAAGAGACUUCAUUUCCCUUUACCCUUCAAGAACGUAUGAAUCAGUUGUGACAAUUUCAGAUAAUUCUUCCUGAUGAAUCGAUAAGCUGGUUGGAUCUCCAGUUCCAGUGAUUGAAGCAGCUACGUGUUGAAUCAUGGUAGUUUCCAAGAUAGGACUAGUUUCAUUUGAAUCUGACAUGAUUGCUUAGAAAUGCGGCAGGUAAAAGGAAACAAUGGACUUGGGAAUAAGAUGAACAGAAGAAGCAAGAAUUCAACAUUAUGGUAUCCAUAGAGUUCAUCUCAUUUAUGUUUCAUUUGAACCCUAUUUUAGUUUUAAGCAAUACCGCACAAGACCAACAACAUGUUAAAAGGUUAGAUACUUUAUAUACGGUUACUUCAAUGUUGAUAAAAAAUAAUGAAGUUUGAAAGAAGAUAAAACUAAAUGAUUUCUGCUUUUGUUUAGACUGUUUAAAUUAAACUAAGAUAAAACCAAAAUAUAUGCUUGUAAAAAAUUAUGGCACUUCCAAAACUAAAACUAUUUAGAGGGGAAAAUGCAUAUUAGUCAUCCAAAUUGAGUUGCAAUGCCAUUGCCUUGUAUUUAAAGAGACUUGUGAACCUAGCAAGAGGCUCACAUCCCCAAAGUAUAUGGAUGUGGUUACUUGCUCCUCUUCCUAUGAACAAGACUUUAUAAUGGACAUAUGCAAGUAAUUUGAAUUGUAAGAAUAGAGGAAAAUGUUGCAAAAACAAAUGAUUCUAAGGUCAUAAUUAUAAGCACAAAAAAAAAGAAAAAAGAAUCAUACUUAUGAUUGGUAAUUAGGUAAUAGUGGUGUGUGUGGAUUUUUCUAAAUAAUCACAUUAAUAAAUAGCCAUCAAAGUGAUCAAGAAAUUAAGCCUUGUGCUAAUAUGAAAGGCUUAAAUUAUUUUACAUAAUUAUGAUGCUAGUUUCAACAGUUUAACUUUAAAAUCUAUGUGGAAUAAGGUAGCAAAAUCUUUCUUUGAUGCUUUUAGAGCCAUGGCUAUAGUCAAAAGCAUAGUUUGUUGUCAUUUUAUUGGGAUUCAGCUCAAUGUUGCAUGGACUUCUUUUAGCCCAUGGGUUGAAUCUUUAGUCCUCAUUUGGGUUUAUGUUGUUUUUUCUAGCAUUUUGGUUCACAACCCAUUGUUUUGAUUUUUGUUAUGAUAUUAAUUUUGUUUUAUUUCAAUAUUUGAAUUGAAUUAAUACUGCAAUUCUAGAUGCUUGUUUCUUCAUCUUUCACCUAUUAACUAUUAUGUCAUUGUCAACUAAGCCAUUGUUUAGUGGAAAAGGUUUUCCGUUCAUUUGAAGUUUCAGUUGACAUAAGAUCUAGGGUUUGAGUCUAAGACAACCCAGUUCACCCUCCCCCUUAUUAAAAAAAAUAAAAAAACUAUCAUGUCAUUGUUUUUUUUCUGUGUUUAUGGUUGGAUAUCUGGCAUUGCUGGUUUAUGCUCAUACCAUACAUUUAAAACUUUUUGGAUAGAUUUCACAGAAAUUAUAUGAGCCAUUCAUCAAAGAAGUUUUUCUAUUCAAGGGUUGCUCAACAGGAUUCAUUAAGCAAAUUGUAAGCCAUUUUAUUGCUUAUCUAAAGUAGCUUUUCCUUUAGGAUAGGCACUAUUGUUUUUCAUUUCACUCUUUUACAUCAAUAGGUUAAGUUAUUGUCAUGGAACUUGUCAAUAUUGUUGAUCAAUCAUGGAUUAGGCUAGUUCUCCUACUUGCAUAAGGGCCCCAUUUUUUCCAAGACCCUUUUGUUUUCACAUGCUGCAACUUGUCAUGGAACUAUCUUUGUUUUAGAUUAAUUUUCAAAAAAAAAAAUGCAUUGCUCAAAGCAUUAGCUCAGCUACAUGGUCAAUCAUGAGCGGUGUAUCGGUUUGGAGCAUAUUUAUAGCCAUUAAGCAUAUUUUUUGGCCUAAAUGUAAAUAUUCUUUCAUCAUCCUUUUGUGCAAAUAAAGAAGAGGAAAAGGGAAAAAAAUGUGAAAUUGAAAAUAAAGAAGUCUAUUUCUGCCUAUUUGACCAAUGAAAUAGGAAGUCUACUAUGCCGAAUAUGAAUGGGAUAGAAUAGCCAUUCUGGCCAAUCAAGUACACCACAAGUUUUUGGCUCUGUAGCAAUUUUUCUAAGAAAUGCAUCGUUCCUUGUGGUUUGUUAGGCAAUUAAAGUCCAUGAGGAGUUUUUCCUUCCAGGGGAAGUGAUUAUUGAACAGGGAAAUGUAGUCGACCAACUCUAUAUUGUUUGUCAUGGAAAACUGGUAAGAUUUUCUUCAACCAGCUCUAUGUUGUUGUCUUUAGUUAUGUUUUCAAAAGAAUGUCUAUCUUACAUAAACUUUUUUACUAGUUAGUUUACUAUCCUUAUAAAGUAUCUACUGAUUGAAUUUUAGAGAUCUUGAUUCAGUUCUUUUUUCCAGUUAUGAUUGCUGAUUACUUCCACUAAUGACUUUUUAUAUUGGCAUCUUCAACAUCUCCUGGGCUCAACAUUAAGAAACUCUUGUUGUUUUACGGAAACAUAAUGCCAAAUUUCAUAUAAGAAUAUAUAUAGAUAUAGAUAUAGAUAUAGAUCAGUUAUAUGUUGAAAGCCUGAUAUUCUAAUAUCUAAGGCUAGGGAACUCAAAGAUUAACACUUUUCUUGGAUACUACUGUUACUGCCUGCAGCAAGAGUUCUUUAUAUAGCAUUAAAUCCGUAAGAAAAUAUAUUUCUUAUCCUUAAAAUAACUUUAACCGAACCUCCCCAAAGUAACAUGAAAAAAAGAGCUAAAAAAGAAAGAUAAACCCUUUAAAAGUAAAUUCAUUAUGGUUAGGUAAAAGUAACCAUUUUGUUGAAUCUUGCUUUCUCGUAUUGACCUUCACCUCGUGCAUGAAAAAAGUGGAAUUCCACGGAAGCACAAAUUUUAACUUUUUAUAUAAGAAGAUUGACAUUUCCUAAAAAACACCCCACUUGAGGAAGAAAAGCACAAUAUGUUUACUAGAUAUGUUAUUUUUUAUUAGGUUAAAAGUUUUAGACCAAGCUGUUGUAAAAGUUGUUAUAAAUAGUAUCCUAAUUUAAGAUGUUGUGAUCGACAUAUUAAAUUUGUGUAUAUAGUUGAAAUUUAGAAAAAGUUGAUAACUUUUAUAUUUACUAGUGUCUUCUUUAAUUUUUAAUUUGUAGGCCUAGGUAGUUGACAGUUUACAAAUAUGCACAGGUGGAAGUAGGGAGAGGCAAAAAUGAUGAAACUGGGGAUCCUCUCAUGGAUCUCCAAACUUAUAGCUCUUUUGGUGAAGUUUCUUUCCUCUGCAACACUCCUCAGCCUUACACAAUCCAAGUUCGUGAGUUAUGUAAGGUUUUACGAAUUGAUAAACGAUCAUUUAUGGAGAUCAUUGAGAUAUACUUUUCUGAUGGAAGGAUUAUCUUGAACAACCUUCUUGAGGUGAAUUAACAUCAAUAACAAUAAUCUUCUUUUCCUGCAUCUUUUGGAUCAUCAUCUUUACAUACUGGUCCAUCAUAAUGAGAGUCUUUUUUUUUUUUUUUGUAUUAACACUAUUGGCAGCAAAAACAUUCAACUGCCUUUCUCUAGUGUACAACUGUUACAUGAGUGGGUUACUGAGGUUUAUCUAAACAAAUCUAUUUUUAUAUAGGGAAAAGAUGCCAAUAUGAAAAAUGAAAUAUUGGAGUCGGAUGUUACCCUUUAUAUUGGAAAGCUUGAAUCGGAGCUAGCUGCAAGAUUGAAUUGUGCUGCCUACAAUGGAGAUUUGCAUCGACUGAAACGUCUCAUUGGAGCUGGAGCGGAUCCCAAUAAGACUGAUUAUGAUGGAAGAUCACCCUUGGUAUGGUUUCUUGUGAGCUACCAUUAAUAUUUUUAAACAGUUGCUCUUCUAUACUCUUUUCCUAUCUUAUACAAAGCACUGCAUGUAAUUCAUAGGAUUAUCACUAAGCUGAUUAUUUUUUAAUGUUUAUAUCUGAAUUAUUAACUGUUUAGUAUUUCAUCAAUCAUCAUCCUAAUUUUACCUAAAGAGGGAUGCAUUAUUAGAUACUAUAUAAGAUUUAGUAUUUUCUUUCAAGUGCUAUUACUUUAGUUUCCAGUACGUAUAAGUAUCAUUAAAUGAUGUCAUGCUUUUUGCAUCAUCUUCUUUUUAAUAUAACAAAUCUUGACCUUCUUUUAGGGUGAUCUUAAGUGUUUUCUUUUACAGCACAUUGCAGCAUCCAGAGGAUAUGAAGAUAUAACCGGUUUUCUUAUUGAACAAAAGGUAGACCUGAACAUAUCAGGUAACUUUCUUAUAUGAUAUUUCUCUUUAAUUUACCUCAAGAAUUGUUCACAUAUUUUCAAAGUAGAUAUUGCUUCUGAGGAAAUCUCCUAACAAUAAUCAGAUAAGUUUGGGAACACUCCUUUACUUGAAGCCAUCAAGCAUGGGCAUGACCAAGUUACUUAUUUACUUGUUCAAGCGGGAGCAUUACUUGCAAUGGACGAUGCUUCUUCUUUUCUCUGUAUGACUGUUGCAAGAAGGGAUUUGGAUCUCCUAAAACGUGCUUUGGCUGGUGGCAUCGAUCCAAAUGCCAAAAGCUAUGACUACCGAACACCACUUCAUGUUGCUGCCUCAGAAGGGCUAUAUUUUGUGGCCAAAACACUUAUUGAAGCAGGAGCUAGCGUUUUGUCAAUAGACAGGUAUAAUUUAUAGAUUGAUCAGGUGUUUUAAAGACCAAAAUAGGUCAUGUGUUCCUAUAUUCUUCUUUGCAUUUUUAUGAUCAUUUUUUUCAUUGAGAAAACUUGUUCCUUCGAGGGUUCAUUUAUGCAUGGUUUAACCUCUUAUGUUUCUCAUUUUCCUGGACUUGGUACAUACCUCUAAAAGUACUUGAUUCUGAGUCUUGGAACUGUGAUUUUAGAACUCUAGAUAUAAUUAUAAAUAGUUGUUUGUUCAUAUAAUCUGUCCAAAAGUUGAAUGAGCCAUGUGUAGCUUAUCACUAUUGUAGCUCAGAGCAAUUCAGUUUUUCAGAUAUAGCCCUUCGAGGGCAAUUUUUAGUGUCAAUAUUCCAAAAAUUAAUAUGAAAAUUUCAAAAGAAGAAUCAUGUUUGUGUGCUAACAGUGUUUAACAGUUUGGGUUUUAUAUCGCCUUUGCCACAAAAUUUUCUGGAAGUUGAGUUUUGUUAAGCCAAUUCAUGUUUGUAGAUGGGGAAAUACUCCAGUUGAUGAUGCCCGCAUAGGUGGAAAUAGAAAUUUGAUUGCAUUGCUUGAAGCUGCAAGAGCUUCUCAAAUGGCUGACUUCUUUGAUCAUCCUCAACAAAUUCGAGGUACAAGCUAACCUUUGUUUGUUGCAUGCCUUGUUUUGUGAGCUUUUGUUCUAAGAAACAUUCACUUGCCAUGAAAACUCAUUCUCUAAAAUUAAAGUUCUUAACCGCCAUCCCAGAGAAUAUUUUGCCUUCGAGCUAGGAAAUUAUCCGCUAAUCAGUACAUAGCUAAUUUUGAUCCUAACACUGGUCCCUGAACAGAUUUGCUCUUCAAACAAUACUACUCUUCUGUUAAAUUCUUAAAUACAUAAAUUUUCAAAGAGAUCUUCUCAUUUACUCUGUAAUGCAUUUUGUUUAAUGGCCAAAAAUUUUCAUUUAUUUUGUUGCCUUUGAAUUGCAAUCAUCUUCAAUCUAUUCUUUAACUUCACUAUAAACUAGAUACGGAAGUUGUGAAAAAAAAAUAUAUGUUGUUAAUCUUUUGUUACAUAUUGGGUCAUCUUCCUAAUAAAAGGGCAAGAUGAAGAGUAUUUUUUUUGGUAUCUUCCAUUUUUCUAUUGAUAUAUCUUUUCUCUUCAAUCUUCCCUUUUUUUCCCUUUCCCUUUCCUUGUGGAAGAACCUUUUGGACUGUAGUAUUUGAAGAUUAAUGAAAAAGAAUACCAACAUGGAAUAGGAAAAUAAAUUAGCAAUCAUCCCCUGAAUAUAUAACUUAUAUAUUUAACCAGUAGCUCACUUAUUCCGUUUCCACAUUAAACAAUUUAUAGGGAGUAUCAUGAAUGUUUUGUUUACAUAGUUUGUGAGACUUCUGUCUAAAGUCUAUUAGAUUUGAUCAUCAAGCAUAUGAUCUUUCUAGUUUAUAAAUGCGAUGUUACGGAUCAACUUAUUUUGUGACAAAUUUAAGCAAAUAAUGUUGGCAAUAACAGGGGAGAUGUGGAAGAAAAAAUGCACAGUUUUCCCAUAUCAUCCAUGGCAUGAAAAGGAGAAGAAAAGACAGGGAGUGGUGUUAUGGGUGCCGCAAAGCAUGAAUGAACUCGUCAAGGAAGCCAAGGAGCAGUUACAAUGUGGUGAUGGUUAUUGCUGCAUUUUGUCCCAGGAUGGUGCUAAAGUUCUUGAUACCAGUAUGAUUAGUAAUGAUCAAAAGCUAUUUUUGGUUAAUGGAUCGUAAGACACUUCACGUAUAGUUCUUUAGCAACUUCAUACACACACACAACACACUAUCUGAUAUUUUACGAGCAAGUAAUAAAUCAGAAUACUACUUUGAAGUUUCACUUUGAAUAUAUAUUUUUCCUUAUAUAAUUAAUGUAUUUGUUAUGGGUGGACAUUAUAUCAUUAUUUGAAGAAAAGUUGGCCUCCUUUGAAAGCAACAAAUCAAUAUUGAUAUAACCCACAACGUUUACGACAAUAAUGAUAUCACCCCCAUUCACAUUUACUCACAGCCAGUAUUACCUAAAACAAGAGGAAUUUAUGUACCCAAAAGAGAGGACGAUAAAGGAAUUUAAACCGUGAACACCAUUAUGAUGUUAUUCCAUUUAUGUAACUUUUGAUCAUGGUGCUUUACUGUCCACACAAGAGUUUCCAGAAACUAUAAUAUAUACCAUCGGCCCAAAGUAUAAAAAGAAGGUUGAUGGUGGCUAGCAAUCCUAGCGAUGCCUUGUUUGAGGCCAUCCUAAUCCAGCAUUACCAAUGUUCCCGGUUGGCUGUAAUGGUUCUGUCAAGCCCUUUGUGGUGCUACCAAGAGCCUCCCCCUGCAUCCAAUUUAAGUUUCAAACAGUAGGAAAAUGGUGGUUAUAUAUGACUUUAUGACAAAAGUGUCAAGUAUAAUCGAAGAAGCAUUUUUCUCUAACGUCUUAAUCUUACUUUUUUCCUUUUUAAAAAUAAUUCUUUCAUCCAAUCAACACGAGAAAUUAGUGUCAGUCAUGACUGAUAAAUAUCAUCUAGGAUAAAAGGUUUCAUACCCCUCAAUAUCAUCAUAGAUGUAAGUAUUUGUCUCAUGUACCACAUGUAAUAAGAUCAACACUCACCUCUUUCCAGCCCAUGCCUUCCAUAAUUCGUCUGGCAUAACUACCAGCCCCAAAUGACAUGUUCAAGGCUUCAGCUUUGGCAUCUUCUAUACAGGUAGGAUCAUUAUCAUGAUCACUUCCUGCAUUCUUUUGCCCUGGACCCAGACCAAAGCCACCACGCAAGGCUCUUCUCUCAGCAGCUCUAUCACGAUAUGCAUGGCUUCCCUGCAAGAGACAAAGGAAAAGGCAGAGUGUGAAAGGAAUCAGCAUAGCGCACACAAACUCCUAUAAAAAAUGACAACCAAUAUAAUUGAGUUCCAAGACACUAACAAAAAUUACCUCCAGUCAACAUAUGAAUUUUCUUAUAGAAAAAAACUGAUUUCUUUUUAAUUUCUUCUUUUGGGUGAAACAAGAAAGAAAUAACAGUUAAGUGGGAAUAGGUAUAUAAAUUGAGCCUCCAAAUUUGAUGUAAAGGUUUUGAGUGUGUGAUGACCAUUAGGCAGUCUCUUGGCAACAUAAAUGGUAUUGGAAUUAAAUGAAUUUUUAACAAGCCAAAUCAGGAAAAAUGGACUACAUGUGAAGAUCGUAUAUUUUCCCAUGAAACUUUGGAAUGUUUACUUGAUAUCAUCUCAUUGGGGUGUGAAUGAGAUGUGCACACAAGCUACACGAGUUUGACUUGAAAAACAAAAAAAAGAUUCUGGUUUAGUAAUUUUUGAGUCAAGCUCAAGUAGCUCAAGCUAUUGAGUAAACCAAAUUCGAAUAUCUUAAUAAUUGACUCAAGUAGUUUGCAAGCCUACUUGAGUCCUCUAGUUUUGUUUUUUGGUAAUAUUUAAAAAUAUCAAUUUGAGCUCACACAUAAAAAUCGAGUUUGAAGUUGAUCAUAAGAAUCAAUCUCAUUUUUUACACAUAAACGAGUUUAAAUGAUCCUAACCAAAAGAGCUCAAACAAUCUUUUUUUUAAUCUUGAAUCGACCUUGAGCUAUAAAAGUGAGAUUUGAGCUUGAGCCAAAUUCCAACCCCAAAUUUUGAGAGGAGCUCGAACUUCUUAUAACUUGAGCUCAGCUCAGCUUAAUUACACCCCAAAUAAAUACUGUCUUCAACUUCAAUAGAAUACCAAUUCUUUCAUUGUUAUUAAAUUUCUUAUACUUUCCUAUCUACUUAUAGUUUUUAAUUAUAUUCUUCACAUGCAUAACUACAGAAAAAGAACUUGGAAUUAAACUUCACGAAAGCAAAUGCUACCUUCAAUGAUGUAGAGAGCUGAUCUGACAACAUAGACAAAUCCUUUAAGCCUUUCUCUCUAGUUGCUUCUGAUUUUUGCUUUUGUCUAGAUUUGAACUGGACGAAGCUUUUCUUAUUGACUAAUAAAUCAGGGAAGCCCCAAUCUUUUGUUGGAUCAGAAGAAUCAUAUGUUGACAAGGAAGCUAAAUACCUUGGACAUGGAGUUCGCAAUUUGUACACUUGUCCUGUAAUAAAUAAUGGGGGAGGGGGUACAACCUUACAAAUUAGGAGCACUAACAUUAGAUUUCAUGAAGAGAGUUGUUUUAGAAGAAGACAUAUUUUCCUUACUUCCUCCCGAUCAAAACCCAAGAAUCACCCUUUGUUUGGUUCGCAAAAGUUGUUCUAGAGAAGUGGCAGAUGCAAACCUGUUCUAACUCGUACCAGAUCAAGAUGAACUUCACAUAUAGGAGCAGUUUUUAAUAGACCACCGCCAAGAGGCACGGAGGGGUGAACUUUAGCCGACCGCUUCACCAGCCGACCUAUCAGUCUAGCCACUUGCUUUUUUCCAUCCUCUUUUGGUUUUGUCACCAUACUCCAAUCCCACAAAUCCACAACUGGAAAUUCUAGCAAGGGCUCAUCUUUGCAACGUGUGACUUGUCCGUAUUGGGCUCGCCAGUUUUCUUCAUCCCAUGUAUCACCUGAAUGAAAAUUUUCCAGUGUGUUGAUUUAGACUUGUGGAAUUUGUCCCACAGGAAUCCCUUAAGUGGUAAAAUUUGUAGGCAAAACUGAAGUAGAUGUUUAUUUCAAAUAAAUUGGAUAUCAGUCAAAUGUAACAAUAGCAACAUUGUCGCAAGACCUUCAUAUGGGACAACUUCACUUGAACCGCCCAAACCAAAGCUUUCCUCUGGGAUCCAUUCACCCUCUUCCAACUCGUACAUCUCAUCAUUUCCUGCCCCUCAACAGAACACCAUUAGAUAAACUUCAGAACAUAACCAACUUUUUACAAUCAUCUUCAGAAGCUAGCAAGCGUUUAGAAAUUUCGAACAAACAAAUUUGUGACAAACCAUCAGUAGGAAACUUGAAAUUCUCUUUUUCGUCUGUUUCCAACGAAAUACUUGCAUCAGCAGCAGAAUUGGCAGCUAAGUUAUACCCAGAAAGAUAAAGGUCAAUGAGUGUGUCUUCUAACCUGAAUCAAGAUGAUACCUCAGUAAGAAAACAUGUAAUCAACUAGUUCAACCAAAAUAUAGGAUAUAAAAUGUCAGAAGUAGCAAACCACUCUGAUGGUGGUGGUGGCUGCUCAGAUGCUUGAGCACUGGUGUCCUCUAUUGGACCUGGUAAUCAGAAGUACCGUGAAUUAGUUUAAAGCACUUAUUUUUGAGAAAGAAUCCAAUCAAUAGAACAUUAUUUACAGAAGUAGAACUUAUUUUUGAGAUGAAAUUUUGUACUAAUGAAUCAGAUUCACAGAUUGCACCGCUCAAAGAAAAACUUGUUCCUUCAACUACCCUUCAAUCAUUCCACAGCAUAAUAUUGAGUAAAGAGAAAUUUUACCUGUACUAGUAGAUUCAUCAGCAACAUUUAUAGUAGUAUUCUGAGCAUCAACUUCAUUGCCCUGAGACGAAGAGCGAUUAUACUCGGGACCAUUAUAAGAAGCAGUGGCACAAGGCUCAUCUAAAACAGAAUUAUCAGCCACAGCUCCUUCCUGCAAAAUCAUUUUGGAAUCAAAAACCUAAAAUGAAAAGCAUACCGAACAUAGGAUUAAUCAUCCAGAUAAAAGAAGGUAUGAGCUAACUACCAUGUCCAAAAGCACAUAAUUUCCAUUCUCAAAUGUGUAAUAGAGACCAUCUCUACUGCUAUAGUACCAUCCGGCAUCAGGGUCAUGGUAAAAUCCACUACUGCAACAAAUCAAACGAAGGCGUACGGUGCCAAAAUGAACAAAAGAUCAUUGAGAGAGACAGAGAGAGGAAAAAAACCCAAUUGUAUGACAUAUUGGGAUAGAAUCAUCGAAGUUUAAAGGGAAAAAAUCUACAAUUAAUUUCUCAAAUAUAAAAACUAAUUUUAUUAAAAAUGAGAGGAAGAAUUAAUAGUAAUAGUUUAUAGAUAUAUAAAAUAGAAAAUUUGAAGUAAAUAAAUAAAUCAACCUGGCAUGAAAAUAGAGGUGAGUUUGAGGAUCCCAUACAAAAGAGCAAUCGCUGCUGCUCUGCAAGUCCAACUCAGUGGAAACAGCCAUUGUUUUAUCACUUUCUUUGUCCUUCCUUUUCAUGUGAAGAAAUUUAAUUUAUAGAGUACCAAAAUUGAAGGAACAAAAAGGAAAAGCGAGGGAUGUUAUUGUAAAGGCCCAAAUGGAGAAGAAAAGACCCACCCCAACUUUACAGUCAAAUAACUUAAUUCUCCAUGAAUGUGCAGAAAUGAAGCGGUAGAAAGAAAAUAAGAAUGUUUGAAAUGAUAUUUAACAUAGAAAAACUACUUUAAUGAAGAAGGGAGGUAACAGAGGCAGAAGCACAAGAGAAGCAGAAAGGAAAAUAACCAACAACACAAAAAAGGUUAAAAAACAUUAAAAAAUUUGUUGUUUAAUAAUAAUUAAAGACUAAAAUAUUAUAAUAUAAAUUAGGGUGAACAUUCGAUCGAAUCGAAUUGAAAAUUUUCGAGUUAAUCGAGUUUUCGAAUCUCAUUUUAUCAUCUUAAUUUUAUUUGAAAUUUUCUCGAAUCGAGUCGAGUGAGAUGGAAUUCGAAUCGAAUCGAAUAUAGUUGUUCGAGUUAAAUUUUAAAAAAUAAUUUUGGGUCAUUGUAACCAUUGUCACCCAUCGUAAUAAAAUUUAUCCACCUUAAUCAAUUUUUUUAUUAACUUUCAUCACUUCAUAAUUUAUUUAUUAAUUUUUUAUAUAUUGGUUAGCUUCUUUGCUUGCUUAGUUGUUUCAAUUAUCUUCAGAUUCUUGUCACUAUGUAUUUUAGAAUUAAAAAAUAUAUUAAAUGCAAAAAUAUGAUUUUUUUAAUAAAAGCUAUUUUAAAAACAAAAUGUGAAAUUGAUACCAAUAUAAAAUUUUAACACGAAUAUUUUAUGGCAUAAUUAAUAAUUCAAUUUUAAUAUAAAUAUNNNNNNNNNNNNNNNNNNNNNNNNNNNNNNNNNNNNNNNNNNNNNNNNNNNNNNNNNNNNNNNNNNNNNNNNNNNNNNNNNNNNNNNNNNNNNNNNNNNNGUAGAUAUAAAUAAAAUUAUUACUAUUUAUGUUUUGGUGAUUUUUUUUUUUGCAUAAUUUUUAUUUUUUAUUUGAGAGUAAAUGGUGAGAAGUAAAAGUUUAGGGGAAAAAUAAAAAGUUUUGGGGAAUAAAGGUUUGAGGGAAAGUAAAUAGGGGAGUAAAAUUUUGGAGGGAAAAUAUUAAAAAAAAUUGGAGGGGGGAGGGUUUGGGAUAGAUGGGAGGUGGGAUGGGAAGGGAAUAAAAGUUUUAGGGGAAAAGUGGGAGGGAGUAAAAAUUUUGGGGCAAAAUAAAAGGUUUUGGGGAGUAAAAUUUUGAGAAAAAAAAUGAAAGAGUAAAAUUUUGGUGGGAAAUGGAUUUUGGGUAGAUUGGGGGGUUGGGAGGGGAGUAAAAGUUUUGGAGGGAAAGUGGGAAGGAGUAAAAGUUUUGAGGAAAAAGUAAAAAGAUUUGGGAGUUUGGGGUAAAAAUGUAAAGUAUUAUAGUUUAAUAUUCGAAUUAUUCGAGUUAUUCGAAUUCGAAAACUCAACUCGAUUCGAACUCGAAAUUCGAAAAAAAAUUCGAGUUGAUUCGAAUAACUCGAUUAACUCGAAUAACUCGAUUCGUUUAACUCGAAAUUCGAUUUUUUUUUCAAUUUUUUCGAGUCGAAUCGAGUUUUGCUCACCCCUAAUAUAAAUAACUAUCUUGAUGGAAUUGUAUUUUACAUUUCUUUUGCUGACGAUAUAAGAGGGAGAGAUCCACCAAUAGAGUUAUAGUAAAUGCAUUUGUUUUCCUCUCCUCUCUUCACUUAAUUGCAUAAAAUAUAAGGAAAUAAAAUAAUUUUAAUCUCACUUACCAAAAACAUUAAUUAUGUGUAGUAUUAUAAUAAAUUGAAUAUUAUACAUUUUAAUUUACGCAUAACAUUAUCAAAAAUAUUUUCUUUCAUAUAUCUAGACUUGUUCAUGGGUCGGGCCACCCGAUCCGGUCCGAAGGUCUACUUUAAAAGUGGUAGGAUUUGAAUAAAAAUAUAGGCAAAAAAAAAGCAUAUUUAAAAACAAAUUGAGCCUCAAAUAAGGUAUUUUUUGUACCGGCCCGACCUGAAUUCACAAAAUGACAAAAAAAUCUACUAUUUUUAUUAUUUUAAAGCUAUUUUCUUGUUGUUUUCUCCCAAUUUUAUUAACUUUUCACUAUUAUGUUACUACUUGUUAAAUUACAUCUAUCUUAAUAUUAUUAUUCUCAAUCUUAUUUUUUAUAUAAAUUCAAGUCGGAAACACAAAACUUUAAUGCUUACUAUUGAAAUUUUUCUACCUAUUUAAUAUGUAUACAUCUUACCGGUAAAUAUAAUUGCUUUGUAUAUAUGAAUUCGGUAUUUUUUGGUGUUUUAAUUUAUAUUGCUUAUAGUAUAUACAUUUGUUAACUAGUAGGUGAUGCUUAUGUUGAAGGUGAUGCUUUGAGUGUGAGUUACUUCCUUGCUGGUGUAGCAGUCACAAUAGAAGGAUGUAGUUUACAUGCUAUUAAGUUCCCAACCAAAAGUAAGGGUUUAUUUCCAGAAUCAGUGGAGCAUGCCUUUCAAAACUGCUGUUCCAUUGUUAUACUUUAAGGCUGCUGAUCUCAAAUCCCUUUUCAUUGAUUAUUCCACUAGAGCUAUCAAAAUCAACAACCCAAUCCUUGCACAUCCCUACCUCACUAGUUUCCAACUAGGCAAAGCCAAGAAUCUAGAGGGUGUCCGAAUAAAAAUUAAGAAUAGAGAAUACUAAAACAAACCUACUGUGUUUGGACGAACAAGAAGCCCUUUGUCUUCAGCCCUGCACAACUAGCACGAGGCACUUCAUGAAACAUGGUCAUGCAGCUUUAAUAUUAUAUAUGGUGAAAACCUUGACUAGUGUAUACCAGUUUUCAGUAUGACAUAUUUCUCUAUUACUAACCAAUUCGCUUGGUCUCUGCUAUAGAAUCAUGUAAAGACCAGGCCAACAAAAUCCUAUGGAGUAAAAAGAAAGAAGAAACCCUACAAUCUAUGAAUACUAAAGCUUUCUAAACUUGAUAUUGAUGGACCGGUUCUAGAAAUAACAGCCCUCCAAAAAUAGGCGUAUGCCGCAAAGAGCGGCGAGCACACGGUAUUCUUUAGUAAAAGGCGAAAGAAUAGUUCGCUCUGUGCCCACCGGACGGCUCCGUGCUUUCAUUCAAGCCAUUUGGACAUUAUUUAUAAAAGUCGAUUGGGUUGCGCUUGCUUGUGUUCUAUUAUGGAAUUUUUCUCCAUUGGUUUUUCUGACUCUCAAGGCAAGCCGUUCUCCAUCAGUUCUCUAAAUUUCCGCAUCAUAAUCUCGUAAAUUAGCUGUUUUAAAUCUAUCACUGUUCCAUGUGUUUUACGUCUUUACUGACUGAUUGAUUCCCCAAGUUAAUGGUUCUGUAAGAUAUUCCUGCUUUACUGUAAGCUGAAAAUGCAUGUCGUGAACUAAGUUAUGCAAACUCAAUACCCACCAGAAAAUCAUUCUUGUAUCCUACUCCACAGGUUACUCAUUCACAUUAAUCAUAGAGAAUAGGAAUGAACUUUUUUUUUUUUUAACAUUUUAACUUGGAAUGUUUAUUUCUAUGACACUUUUAGUUUAUUAGUGCGAUAUGUUUCGUUUUACGCUUUAUAAAAUAUUAAUCUUUCUAAUAAUAUAUAAAAAAAAUAUGCAUUAUACAUUUUAUACUUAAAAAAAUAUAUUUAAUAAGUGUAGAACUCUCAACUUUUAUUAACUUAAAAGGGUAAUAAGUUGUCAUACAAAUUUAGAAUGCAAAAUAAUUAAAAGCAAACAAGUAAAUUAGAACAUAGAAAGACCCCAUUCGACUGAUACAAAUUACUAGGUGAGAACGUUAUACAUGUGCCUUCUUUCCAUAGAAGAUAUCAUUAAGCACAGUCUUGGACGGCGACGAUGCCUUGAGCAAUUUCACAGCCUGACACACAAGCAAAACAAAAAUGUGAUAUCUCAAAGUAUAAUAUAGUUAAAAACAAAAAAAGAUGUACGUAAUUACCUCAUCCAUACGGAUUUUGAUCGUUUUCUCUUGGAGUGCCCCACUAUCUUUGACAGAAAACCUGUUAAGCAAACCUAGACUAGAAAUAGUUGACAAUGGCUUCACUAUAAGAUCAUCCAUAACCAUAUAUGUAACCACCCUUAUCACAUAUCCUCCCUCCUCACCUUCAUUUGAUGAAGACAGGGAUUUAAGACAUGUUUUAUGAUCUAUCUUAACAAGUUUCACUUGGUUACUCAUCGUACAACCUCACUGAGAACAAACAGCCUUCGGAUCCUCUAUAAUAUACAACUGACAGCCAUUAUUGCUACACCUGUAAAAACCUUGGUUUCUUAAAUUGUUUGAUGACUCAAUUGUUAGAACCGUAAAUAAUAUCUAAUAUAAAAUUAGAAUUGUAAACUAAGAUCUAUCAUGUCAAAUCAUCAAGAAUAAAUCAUUAACAAAACUAAAUACGGAAGCAUACCUGGAUCCAUGGGUUAAUAGAAAUUUUUCGGAUCUUAGGGAUUUGAUCUUCCAAAUUAGCACAAAAGAAAUCUUGAGAAGUUGGCUCUCUCUUAGAUCUUUUCUAAAGACGGGAUAUUAGAAAAGUUACCUUGUAUGUAAUUUGGGGACCAUAACCCUAAUAUAUAUAACUUUGGCACAUUAGCCCUAAUUUCUAAUCAGCCCAUCAUCAAUUAGAAAUUAGUUACUAGAGUAUCUACACAUAUUUGACUCAUACUUUAUUUAAUAAUUAAAACCCAAUAAACAAUAACCAAAUUAGAACACUUUUAAUUUGGGCUAACAUAUUAUGAUAGUAAAUAAUAACAUGUAAUUACCCUUAUUAUAUAUGUGAUGUCCAUAUUUUAUAACAAUCUCUUACUUAGACCACAUAUAUAUACUAAUUACUCUAUAACUACAUGUCAUUAUAUAACCUUUUGAGCUCAAAAUUUUACUAUUAUAUCCAAAAGGUAUUCCGAACAAUCUCGUCCAUUAAUUAUGUUAACAUAGAACCAAUGCGACUUUCGUUACAUAUAUCGUAACUAAAUCCAUCCCUGAUCACAUAUAUCAACACAACCAAAUGACAUAGAUCAAGUAUGGACGUGUAGCAUGGAAAUUACAUGCAAUAUGAUCUAAACAUGUCUAUUUCUAACUGGUCCUCCUUAAACCUUAGUGCGAUCAAACAUUACCAAAACCAGAAUGUGAAUAAACCAAAUAAACUUUCUUUCUACAGAAAAUAAACUUAACAUCCGUAAAUUGAAAUAACUGAAAAUGUGUCUAUAAUAUAAAAUCAUUUAAAAGUACAAACUUCCACGAAAACCAAAUAUCCUUAAAUGAUAUUACACCCAUAUGAGCAAUGUGCUCAUGAAAAACCUUGGGUGUAGUCCCUUAAUAAGCGGAUUCGCAAUUAUAGAGUUUGUCCCAAUAUGCUUUAUAGACAACUAACAUUCUAAACUUUUACUUUAACAACCAAGAACUUUAAGUCUAUGUACUUUGAAUUUGAUGUUCUCCUAUUGUUAUUGGAAUAAAUGACUACCAAUUAUUGUCACAAUUUGCACCCUAGUGACAAAAUUUUGUAUAAAUAUUCCAUCAAAAUCGGAGUAUGUAUACUUGAUGAUCUCUAACUUAUCAGACCUCCGAUAUGUGAGCAUGUAAUCUUUUGUUCUCUGAAGAUACCUCAUAACCCUCUUGCCUACUAACCAAUGGUUCAUACCAGGGUUGUUUAAAUAUCUGCCUAACAUCCCAACAAUGUACGCAAUGUCAGGACGUAUAAAUACUUAAGCAUACAUUAGACUCCCAGUUUUGAGAAGCAUACAUUAGACUCCCAGUUUUGAGACGUAGGGAAUCUUGUGCAUUUCCUUAAUCUCAAAACGAUUCUUGGGGUAUUGGUCAAGACUUAACUUAUUAUUGACAAAUAGUAUGUCAUUAACAUAUAAAACCAAAUAUAGAACCUUACUUCCACUGACCUUGUGGUAUAUAUAAUUAUCGAUCAAAUUCAUCUCUAAACUGAAUGAGAUAACCAUUUGGUAAAAUUUGUAAUAUUAUUGACGAGAAGUCCGCUUAAGCCCAUAGAUGAAGUUCUUUAAUUUGCAAAUCAUUAACUUUGCAUCAUUAGGCACAAGAUUUUUUAGUUGCACCAUAUAAAUGUAUGGUCAAUGUAACCAUUGAGAAAACAUUAACUUAAUAUUCAUCUGAUGCAGCUUAAGGUCAAAACACUACACCAAAACAGGCUUUUAGCGGCGCUUUUUUAGGUUUUUAACGGUGUCUUUAAGCGCCACAAAAAGUACCGCUAUAGACAACGCCGCUAAAGAUCAUGACCUUUAGCGGCACUUCUACCACAAACGCCACUAAAAAUCAUGACUUUAACGACACUUUUACCAUAAACGCCACUAAAAACAUGACUUUUAAAAAAAUAUUUUAAUUAAAUAAUAUUUAUUUCUAUGAUAAAUAUUAUAUUAUGUUCUUUUAGUGGCGCUUUUUCACAAACGCUGCUAAAAACAUGACUUUUAAAAAAGUAUUUAAUUAAAUAAUAUUUAUUUCUAUGAUAAAUAUUAUAUUAUGUUUUAUUUUUGAAAUUUAAACUUUAAACUAUAUACUUUUAAGGAUAAAAAAUUAAUAAAAUUAAAAUUUCUAUUAAAAUUUUAACUUUAAAGCUAAAUAUAAAAAUUAAUGAAUUUAAAUUUAGAAUUAAAAAAUAAUGUUUAAAUAAAUGAGCAAUCUACCUCACAACUCAUCUGAUCUAUAUUAACUCGGCCAAAUAUAGAAGAAGCUACAAAACACGUAAUAAUUAACAAUCAUGGUUAAAGAAGCUAGUACACAAAGUAGCUACAAAACCCUAUUUCAAUAACACCAAAUUCAAGUUCCGACUAAGAUAAACGACCAUGGAAUGAAAAAUUAAAUAACACUCCACUUGAAGAAGUGCUAAGCCUUGACUUUUCCAGCUUGAAGAGAUUGAAUCCUCUACAACACCUUCAAUAUCUAAAGGAUGCAAAACCAAAUGAUCAAAUAAAAAUUAUAUAUAGCCAUUAAGGCUCAAAAAAAUAUAUAUAACAAACAAUUACGUGCAGCUUUAGUAGCAAGUUGAACCAUACUAACAAACAAUCUCAAUCAUAGCUCUUCCAUGUGUCACAAAUAGGCAUUCUUUCUAAUGAUUGUCUAAACUAUUCAAUUUUUUAACAAGGAACAAUAGUAUUAAUUUGGAAAAAGCAGAAUUGAGAUUGAUUACAUAAAUCAAUCAAAAUAAAAAACAAUCAUAAAUGAGUCAGUAGAAAACAAUCAUAAAUCUGGUUGAUAACCAAAUUAUAGCAAUUGUAUGAAGACUAAAUUAAGCAUAAGCAAUGCCAAGCUAACAAAAAUAGAUCGAACACUUCAAAACAAAGGAGGAUAUGUUAUUCCUGAAAUUUCUACAAAAAGAGAUUAUGCCUGGAGUACUAUAUGCUUCUAUGCCACCUUAACUAGAAACUAUUUCACAGGAUUGAUUGCCAAAUACUCAAGCAUGCACUUAGACAUCAAGUUUUGAACUAAAAAAAUUGGAGCCAAGGGAAUAGGAACAAUAAAUCUUCUCAUUAUCAACACAUGGUGAUUUAGUUAUGUUGUUGCUUACUAUAAAAGUUUUACAUUUUAAAAAGAAAAAAACAGUUUCUUAAUUAAAAAAAUCUUAUUAAAGACAAAAUAAAGAUAAAAAGCUUACCAGAAUUAGUUGUUAAAUUAGCUGUCUUAUCACGAUAGCGUCUGUUAGUGUGGCUUCGGCUGCCAUUUGUAACAGUACUCCUAGUUUCUUCAACUCCAGAAGAUUCAAACUCCUCAUCCACAUCAACAGAUGCAGCAAUGCAGGUGAUUUUUUCUUUUCGAACAUUGAAUCCAUCAUCAACUUUAGGAUUUCCUUGCUUCUCCCUAGCACCAACGUCCAAACCUAAUAACUUAAAAAAAUUCAAUCAACAAACAGAAGGCGAAUUGGAGGCAGAAAUACCUAAAAGAAACAUUCAACUGCAAGCUGUAAUGGUAUCCAUAGGAAGAAGAAAACAGUAAGGUGUUAAGAUAAUUUUAAAUGUAAAAGUAUGUAUAUCACAACAGAAAUAGCUUCCCAGUAAUUCAAACCCCAAGAAAACUUAAUUCCUUCAGAACAAAAUAGUUGAGAAAAUAAUUAAUAUCCUAACCACUCCCAAAACUACCAAACUGUAAUAGACAAAUAGAAAAUUAGUGAAGGCCCUAACAUCAUAGAUUACAGCAAAGAGACCAGACAAUCAAUAAUGGUUAAGAAUAUUUAUAAAAUACAAUUUACAGGGUAUUUUCAGUUUCGUUAACUCCUCUCAAACAAAAACGAGACAUGAAGCAGGAAAAACCAAAUAAUUGAUUUUUCUUGAAAGUUAACAUCACAAAAAAAAAUCAAUUCUUGAAAGUUAACAUUGCAAACAGUUUACACUGCUCACGACCAAUAUCGUGACACCACCUAAAUGAAAGUUGCUCAAUAAUAUUAUUUGCAUGCAGUACUGACAGCAAUUAACUUAAAAUGAAAAUUCAAAACUAUAUCAAGCACCAUGUAGGUGCCAACGCUUACAUGUUUAUGAGUACUAUAUCUGAAACCGCCAGUGCAAAAAGUGCACUUUGUUUCUCAAAUGCUGUGUCAUCCUGGAAUAAUGCAAAGAAAAUAAUUAAUAAGAUAACUUGGAAAGAAACUCUAAUCCUCUGCAUUUUUCACAAAACAAGGAAGAUAGAUAGGAACAGACAAAAACAAACAGAUUAUCAACUUCAUAUUCAACUUUUAUAAUCUCAAACCACUAUUGAUUUGUUCAGCUUGGUACAUCACUCUAAGCUUUACGUGUUAUUGGAGCACCAAGACCUCUGUCUAAAAUCACCAAUUCUUCUUUUAACAAAAAAACUCCAGUGCAAAUCACCAAAUUUUGUACUUUCAUCAUGAUCGAUUUGAUUGCUCCAAUUUCAAGUAUAUUCUACUAAUCAAUGUUGCUGAAAAUAAUGCUAGGGAACAAAUAUCACCUAUGGUAUAACCUUUGUUUAAACAAGCAAAAAGAGAAUGGAACAUUCAGAACUAAAACCUUGACAUUAGAAAAAGAAAGAAUUGAUGACUGACCUUUAAUUUCAUUUUACUAUCAGGUAAAACAAAAAUUCAUUCAAUAUUAGAACUACUGCCUACAACUAACAAUUCAUUAGCAACACCAAGCCAAUCAAAACUUGUUAGAAUUUUUUAGAUGUAGUUGAUAAAUUGCCAACAAAGCAGGCACUAAGCACUCGAUUAAUAAAUCAAAAUGCAAUGCCAAAAAUACUCUUUUUUAUUGUCCUUUGGGGUCAGGGCAAGGAAGGAGAAUUUUCCUGAAUGUAGUUUCAAUUUUUUGACAAAACAUGUUAAUGAGAGAAUGGAACACUCUCUUCCAUCAGUGCCCUCCAAAUCCAUUACUAUAGUGCAAGGCUCUAUACCAGCACAUUUUGCCAUCCAAAUACCUUUAGUGGUUUGAGACCUGAUAAGAAGCUCAUUUCAUUAAUUGUUUGAACCGAUUGAAACAAAUGCAAUUUGCUAUUACAUAAACAAAAGUUACCUUCCCUUAAAUGCAUCCAUCUCCCUGAAAUUGGUGUAAAACAAAUUGUUUAACAGUGUGCUUUUACCUGUCAAGAUCAAGGAAAGUGAAGAGAAACUUUUAAUGGCAUAAGCAGAACUUAUUUAACAACCAUAGAAUGAUAAAACAGCUAAAAAUUGAAAUCAAUUAUGGAAUGUGUUACAUUCAAAAUAUAAACAAAAUAUGGAUAUAACACUAGCUACAAAAGUAAUUUAACAAUAUCAUGUGGUAACAAGUUCACAUGAAAGUGAGAUAUGAAAGAUAUGCUAAAAUGAAAUCAUUUACGGCAAUAGUUACAUUCAAAAUAACAAUAACAAAAGAUGGAUAUAACACUAACUACAAAAGUAAUUUAACAGUAUCAUGUAGUAACAAGUUCACAUGAAAGUGCAAUAUGAAAGACAUGCCAUUUUCUGAAAACUGACAUGACUAGGCUUCAAGCUUAUCAUACUAUCAUUUGUAUCCCACAUAUUUCUAGUACAAUAUCAUUAAACAUAAUGCAAAGUAAAUAAACAAAGCAGCUUACUAUGAACUGGGAAUAGACACCUAAGUAACAGGGAAAGGAAAGUAUAAAGAAGAAAGUCACAAAGAUAACAAGGCAUACCGCUGCUUUGCGGUCCCAUGAUGGAAACCACGACAUAUGACAGACCGCAUUCAUGAAGUUUCACUUCCUUGAUAAAACUUUCGAUUCCAGUAUCAUUGAAUGAACCAUCUCCAUCAAUAAGUUGAACCGAACAACAUUCAUCGCUUGUCGCUGAGAAACCAAAUGUUCAUAGCAUGUCAAGGUAAAGCGAGAAAGCAUCCAUAAUGCACAGAACUAAACCGCCCUAUUCAUUUUUCCUUAUUAAUUGAAAAUUAAAUUCUCUAUAUCAAUUAAUCAAGGAAAGGACAUUUUAAGUAUACCUCAACUGAAACAAAGUCUAUUUAUCUUUUGAUAGAGAAUUUUGACGUACUAAAUAGCUUUAACAGCUGGUAAUUCAAAUUCCAGUUCUUUGCUUUUUUGUUUUCCUUAGCUUCCUCAACAACCAAACAUGCCAUAAACAUGAAAUUCAUCCCCGGUCCCGAUCCAAACAUCACAACGAAUUGCAGAUUUACACUACUAAAAGAAACUUUAGAAAUCUAAAAUAUAGUAUUCAAACCCAAAUUUCCACCCAAAAAAAAAAACCCCGCAUCGCACCCUAAAUAAUAAGAAGAAGAAGAAAAAUACUUAAGUAAAUUGUAUAUGCAAAUUCUCUUAGAUACUGGAAAACAACAUUCUAUCUUUACCCUUUGUUUGGUCAGUAGGAAAAUGUGAAACAAAAAGAAAAUCAACCAAGCAAAACCCAAAACUUUCAGCUACUUUUUUCCUACACUUCCCAUUUAACUUACCGUCUUAGCUAAGAUGGAAAAUAGGUGCAUGAUGACAGACAAAUGGAUACGAUGCAAAUGAAAAGGGUAAAAAAAAAAGAAGAGAAGAUGAACAAUUUUUAAUGGAGAAACCAAAGAAAGUUCUCGAAAAAUAAAAACCCAAAUAAAAAAUCGCGAAAUCGUGAAAUCGUUCAAAAAUAAAACCACCGCCACAACCGAGAAAAUAAAAAAUCAAGAAUAAGAAAGAACAAAAUUAGCGGGUAUGGGCUGCGGAGGGUUGCCGAUUUAGGGAAAAUGGAGGGGAAAAAAUUAGGGGCAUCGAUUUUGGGAAAAAGAAGGGAAAAAAAGAAAGAUUUUCAUUUAAAAAAAUAUAAUUACAAAACGGCGCCGUUUUGCAAAUAAAUAUUUGUGGCGUUUGAAACAAAAACGCCAUUAUUGUUCUACUUUUAGCGGCGUUUAGAACAAAAACGACUAUUAUUCAACUUUUUUGCCGCUAUUGCUUACCUUUUGCGGCGUUUUUUCAUAAACGCCGCUAAAGCUCAACAUUUUUACAAUUUUUUAUAUUAAAUUAUUUUAUCUUUCAUAUAAAUUUUAAAUAAAUAUUUUUUUUAAAAUUUUAAGUAAUAUUUAAAAGAAUUAGAUAAAUUUGGUCCUAUCCAAAAUAGAUAGUUACAUAUCCAUAUCAAUCUGUUACUUUUUAUUUAUUUAUUUAUCAAUGUUUUUUUUAAAUCUAAUAUUUAAAUAUAUCAAAUGGUUUACAUUAAAUAUUUUUAAAUAUAAAAGCAUUAAUUGAUUGUAUAAAAUUUUAUCAUUUAACAAAUCUCAAGUAAACCUUAAAUCCUAAAUCAUUUAAUAUAUAUAAAGUUUAUCGAUUAUCUCUUAAAUAAUUUAAACCAUAAUCAUAAUUUUAAUAUAUUAAAAUUAAUAUUAUCUCUUUCACAAUUAUAUAAGAAAUUAUUUAAUAUAUAUAAAUUAAAAAACACUAAUUAAUCUAAACCCUAAACCCCUAUCCCCUAAAGCAUAAAUCAUAAAACAUAACCCCUAAACCUUAAAUCCCAACCCUUAAACAAUAAACCGUAAACCAUAAUCCCUAAACCCAUAAUCCAUAAACCUUAAAAUAGUAACUCUUAAACCUUAAACCCUACACCAUAUACCAUAAACCAUAAACCAUAAACUAUAAUCAUAAUUAAUUCAAUAUUUUAAAAUUAAUAUUAUCUCUUUUACAAUUAUAUAAGAACAUAUUUAAAAUAUAAAUAAAAAACUAAUUAAUCUAAAUCCAAAACCCUAACCCGGCCCCUAAAUCCUAAAACCCUAAAUCCCUAACUCUUAACCCCAUAAUGUCUAACCCUUAAACCCCCAACCUUAAACCUUAAAUCCCAACACUUAAACCAUAAUCCCUAAUUCAUAAUCCAUAAAUUCAUACUCCCUAAAUCGGCCUUAAAUCUUAAAUUAAUCAUAUAUCCUAAAUCAAAAACCCUAAACUAUAGUGAUAAUUAAUUCAAUAUUUUAAAAUUAAUACUAUCUCUUUUACGAUUAUAUAAUAAAUUUUUUAAUAUACAAAUUAAAAAACAAUCAGUAAUCAUGUACCAAAAAAACUUUAAAAUUAUUUUAAAUAAUAGUAUUUUAAUUUUUCCAUGUGUUUUAUUUCAAAUUAUUUCUACGUGUCAUUAUUUUUUUUGAAGAUUUUAAAUAUUCAAUUAGAAAUAAAUUGAAUUUUAUUUAAUUAAUAUAAAUAAACCAAUUAAGAUAAAAAUGUUUUUUAGCGACGCUUCUUCAAAAACGCCGCUAAAGACCAGAGCAUUAGCGGCGCUUUGUUAAAAACUCUGCUAAAGCCCAGAGCGGCGCUUUUUCAAAAAUGCCGUUAAAGCCCCGAGCAUUAGCGGCGCUUUUUCAAAAAUGCCGCUAAAGCCCCGAAAGGUCAGAAAAUGACGCCGUUGGGCUUAGGUUUUUGCGGUGGCUAACGCUCAUUUUUAGCGGCGUUUUCCAAAAAAACGCCGCUAAUGCUCAAUCUUUAGUGGCGAUUUCCAUAAAGUGCCGCUAAUGCUCGAUUUUUGCCGACGUUUUUUGUCCAAACGCCGCUAAAACUGCUGUUAAAAGCCUGUUUUGGUGUAGUGAAAUAUUCCACUAAAGCCAUUAUAAUCCUUUCUCUAGUGGACCUUUUUUAAUGACAUUCAUUCUUAAGGUUGUUGAGUUUGUUUUUUUGGAACAAUUACCUCAUCUUGAAUAGGGAGUUGUUCAACAUUGUCUUAUUGAGGUUCUGGAUUCACUUCUUGAUCAAUGAUAGGUAUGAGGACCAGAACAUCGUUAAAAGUGAUAGCAGGAACUGAGUUAGAAUUCAAUUCCUUCUCAAAAGAAAUGUCUCUAACUUUAUUUCUCUCUCCAAACUUAACAUCCUCAAAAUAUGUUGUAGUUCUCAUCUCAAAAAUAUGUCCAAUUUCUUUUCAUGUGGCUUAUAAGGCCUUGCCUCAAGUGGACAUCCCCAAAUGUGAAAGUGCUUUAGACUAGGUUUUCGACCUGUCCAAAGCUCAUAAGGUGUUUUUGCAACUGCUUUAAUGGUAUUUUAUUCAGAAUGUAAGUUGUUGUUUUUAAAGGCACUGACCAAAUGAGCACCUUCACACUUAUCAUGUUUCAACCUUUCUUCUUUUUACACACAAUAAAAAAUGAGCUCAUUUAGAGUCCAUUUCUCCUAUUGAUAGAUGUAACCAAUUUUAAAUUGGUUAAACUAUCCAGGAAGCGAUACCAAAACCAUAAGAAAAGGUAAUUCCUCAAAAAGCUCGAUCUUAAGUGCCUUAAGUCUUGAGGCAACAUGAAACAUCUCCAUAAUGUACUCUCCUAUGUUUCCUUGACCCUUAUACUUCACAGACAUCAAAGAAUUCAGAAAUGAUGUCAUCUCAACCUUAUUGCUUUUAGCAAAACGUUUCUCAAUUUCAUCAAGGAAACACUUGGCCUAAGUAAUCUUUUCAAAUUUUGUGCCCCUAAAGGCUUCUAGAAUGUUGUGUUUCAUGAUCAUUAGACUCAUGCAAUUUGAAUGAACCCACCUCUCAAAAUCCCUCUUAACAUUAGGGGUGCUUUCCGUAGUGAGAGGUGCAGGUUGUUCUCCCCUUAGUGCAAGGUCUAUGUCCAUACAACCAAGCACUAUAAGUAAGCGCCUUUUCCAUUCCUUAAAAUUAUUCACAUUAAGUAUGGGUAUAGAAUUUAUAUUAGCAGAUAUUGUGGCAACAGAAGAUGAACUAGCUGAAUAUAGAACGAAAAUAAAUAAAAACAAGAUCACAUCAAUAUUCAUAAGUAAACAAUAAAUUCAAGAUAAUGACUAAUCCCAUCUCAAGAUAUCAAACACAAUAUUAGUAUCAAGUCUUUGGAAAAUAAUAUUAACAGUAAAUGGUACUCUUGUUGCAGCAAUCAAACAUUGACAAUAAAUUAUGUCAAAUAAUGAAUUAAUAUUUGGACUAACUUAUUGUUCACAUAAAUUACCUUAUAAUUGUCACACAUUUAUCACCACAAAUGUCAUUAAAAAUCUGUCAAAUAUUAACUUACCUUUGGGCCAAUUAAUAAACGCAUGAAUCAUAAAAACAUAUAAUCAUUUUGAUAUUUUAAAUAAACUAAUCUACACAAAAGAGGUCACUUUGGCAACAUUUUCUUUCAACUAAUCUAUUUAAAAUAUUAGACAUCCUUAAUUAAAACCUAAAGCCAAAAUCUGAACUUAUUUGUUUCAAAAGAUCUAUCUUAAUCUUAUCUUUUUAUCAAAUUAAAAGAUAAUUGUGUAUAUAUAUGUAUUUAUAUACUUUUCCAAAACAACAUGCAUGUAUUAUAUAUGUAUAUAUAAUAAAAUAUAUAUAUUAAAGAAUUAAGCCAUGAGUAUAUGUUAACCAUUUUUUUUAAACAUCAAAUUAAAUUCCUUAUACCAUUUAAAAAUAAUAAUAGGACCUAUGGCUUUCAAAGAAAGGGCACUAAAGUAACGAAUAAUAAUAACAUGAUUUGCAAAUAUAUAUAACAUACAGCAGCACAAAUCAUGAAGAAAGAAAACAAACUGAAUCGCAAGAAAUAGAUUAAAAUGCAAGUAUAUAUUACACAAAUAUUCCAAACUCUGUAAUUGAAUCCAUCAAUUCGAAAAUCACCCAAAUUAAAAAAUAUUAAAACAAAACCUUAAAAUUUUAAUAUGAAUUCAAGAUAAUCAAUAUCUUAAAAAAAAUACUUCAACAUAAACCUUCAAAGGUCAACAUAUAUAUCUGAAAUAUAAAACCCAUGAAAUUUCAUGAAUCAAUCAUUCAAGGGAAGAACCUUAAUCAACUCUCAAUGAUUCGAUAUGAUGAGGCUCGGAUGCCACUUGUUAAUAUCAUAAAUUAAGAUAUGAUAUAAAACUUAAUUAAUCAUAAAUCAAGAUCUUUCAUGUCAAAUCAUCAAGAACAAAACAAGAAUAAAACUAGAUGCAGAAUCGUACCUGAAUCCAUGGGUCACUAGAAAAUUUUCAAAUAUUAGGGAUUUGAUCUUCCAAAUUAGCACACAAGAAAUCUUGAUAAGUUGGCUCUCUCUUUGAUCUUUUCUAAAGAUAGGAUAUUAGAAAAGUUACUUUGUGUGUAAUUUGGGGACCAUAACCCUAAUCUAUAUAACUUUGACACAUUAGCCCUAAUUUUUAAUCAGCCCAUCAUCGAUUAGAAAUUAGUUACUAGAGUAUCUACACAUAUUUGACUCAUACUUUAUUUAAUAAUUAAAACCCAAUAAACUAUAACCAAAUUAGAUCACUUUUAAUUUGGGCUAACAUAUUAUGAUAGUAAAUAAAAACAUGUAAUUACCCUUAUUAUAUAUGUAAUGUCCAUAUUUUCCAACAUCAAUAUUAUGCAACAACUGAGGCUAGUUUGGUGCAGUAGAGGCUAAAACUUUAGGGUUCAACAGUACUUCAUUGGCCUAAAAUGGUUGCAUAUACACCUCACUCAACUUUUCAAUGCACUCAUAAAGGUUUCUAAGUGAACCCACCAUGCCUUCCUUGAUAAAAAGUCUAACAACAGUGCCUACAGGCAAUGACAUUAUGUUGAAAAGGAAAACAACAAAGUCUUUGCCGGCUUCGGCAAACAAAACUCUUUGGCCUCUCAUGUCAACCAAAAGCUUCAAAGUAACUUUGCCCGCCAUUGAUAGAAACUCAAGUUCUGAACUUAGAUCAUUAGCUCCAGCACUGAAUAGAUACACUGGUGUUGGUGUUUUUGAAGUUGAGAGAAUAGAAAAAAGAUAAUUAGCAACAAAUGCAAAAGGAACACUUAGCAGAUUGAAUGAAUAGUUAUCAAUUUUUUUCAUCAUAUUUUCAUUCCAAAAGAUUACAAUAUAUAAGAGAAAUGGUCACAAGUUAUUAACUAAUCCUAUCAAAUCAUCUUGGAAAAAUAAAGAUAAAACUUGUACACUAACUGAUUAGGUAAAUCAGUACCUAAAAACAUUGCUUUAACAAGUAAUCUCAAUAUGCAGACCAAAAAAAAUAUCAGUUUCAACACAUGUGAACCCAUCUCACACUUCAUCUUGCAGUUCGCCAAAAGUCUUGACAGCUUGCAGCUUCCAAUGAGCUUGCAACUUCAAGUAAGCUCGCAACUCACAAUUUUGUUUGAGCUCACGACUUUGAGUAGGCUCGUAGUUUCUAAUGAGUUUGCAUCUUUUGAGCUUGUAGGUUACAUCCUAAGUUUGCCAUUGUAUGAAUGGCCACUUCGCAACACUCCUCCUUGGCCAUAAUGUUGUGAACUCCAAUAUUAUGUCUUAGACUCUCGAACCUCAUCUUUUUAAGAGGUUUUGUGAGAAUAUUAGCAAGUUGAAAAUCUGAACUGCAAUGAACCAGUUUCACUUUAUUUGAUUGUUCGACCACUUGUACAAAAUGAUACUUUAUCUUGAAGUGUUUUGUCUUGCCAUAGAAGAUAGGGUUCUUUGCAAUUACAACAGCAUAUUGAUUGUCAUAGUGUUUUUCUAUUGCUUCCACUUGCUUAAUAUUUAAAUCAGACAUUAACCUUCUUAGCCAAAAUGCUUGGCUUACAGCUGCACCUGCUACGAUGUACUCAGCUUUGGUAGUUGAUUGUGCAACAAUCUUUUGCUUUUUUGAGCUCCAACUAAAUACACUUGAUCCCAAAAUGAAGAAGUAUCCUGAAGUGCUCUUCAUAUCUUCAACAGAACCACCCUAAUCACUGCAUGUGAAACUAGUUAACUUCAGCUCCUUUUCUUUCACAUAUUUAACUCCAUAACUCAGAGUUCCUUUGACAUACCUGAGAACCCUCUUCGCAGCUGUAAAAUGAACUACAUUACAAUAGUGCAUAAAUCUCAAAAGCAAACUAACAAAAAACAUAAUAUCUGGCCUCAAUUUUGUCAAAUAAAGCAAACUUCCUAUAAGGCUCCUAUAGCUCCCUUCAUCAACUCUUUCAAAAUCAACUUGGCUUGAGAGUUUUUCACCUUGAGCAAUGGGAGUUCCUACUGGCUUGCAAUUCUCCAUACAAAACCUGUUCAAGAUCUUUAAUGUAAAGCUCUUUUGACUAAUGAGGAUUUAUUGUUCUAACUGAAACACUUCUAGACCAAGGAAAUAAGUCAUGUCUCCAAGAUCAGACAUUUCAAAUUCAACUAUGUUAGCAGGUUUUCACCACUGCCAGUUACUAGCAAAUGAUCAACAUACAAAAACACUAUCAGCAAGGUCUCCUUCUAUCCUUUCUUGACAUACAAUGUGGAUUUGCUGAUGCUUAUUUCAAAUCCCAAGCUCACUAGAUGCUUGUCAACUCUCUCAUAGCAAGCUCAUAGAGCCUGUUUCAGGCCAUGGAAAGCCUUCUUCAGCUUGCAUACCAUAUGCUUUUCACCAUCAGUUACAAAUCCUUGUGGAUGUUCAACAUAAACUUCUUCCUUCAAAAUACCACUGAGGAAUGCUAACUUUACAUCGAGUUGAUGUAUUUUUCACCCUUUCUGCGCUGCCAUAGUUGAUAGCAACUUGAUCGUAUCUAAUCUAACUAUUUGUGAAAAGGUUUCAGCAUAGUCAACACCAUAUUGUUGACUAAAUCCUUUUGCAACUAGUCUAGCUUUGAGUUUGUUUACUGAAUCAUCUACAUUUAACUUGGUUUUAUAAACCCAUUUUACCCCAAUGACCUUCCUGCGAACUGGUCUGUCAACCAACUCCCAAGUCUCAUUCUUCUUGAUCAUGGCUUUCUCAGCUUCCAUAGCUUCUAUCCAGCCUUUUUUUUUUUGCUGCCUCUUCAUAAUUGAUUGGCUCCAACACAACUACAUUACACCUUUCAUAUACAUCAGAGAUAGGCCUAGUGCUUCUAACUAGUAAGUCAUCAAGAUAAUCAUCAUCGUAAUUUUAAGCUUCAUUUGGUUGUACAUUCAGCUCAGUCUGACUUAGUUCAACCAUCUCAACUUUUUUAGCUUCCCAAUUCCACAAAGCUUAUUCGUUGAACUUCACAUCCCUGCUCUCAAACACUUUGCUCAUAAAGGGAUCAAAGAUUCUGUACCCUUUCUUGCAACUGUUGUAACUAAUAAAGAUACCUGAUUGAGCUCUUCUUUCCAGCUUAUUCCUUUUAACAGCAGGAAUAAGUGCAUAGCACAAGCAACCAAAGAUCUUCAAGUGUGACACUAAAGGCUUGAAUCCAAACCAUUCUACAAAAUGUGUCAUAUCCUUCACAGCUUUUGUUGGUAAUCUGUUGAGCAGAUAAACAUAGGUGUUCGCAGCUUCAGCCCACAGCUUGUUUGGUAGCUUGUUUGGUAACUUCUUCUCAAACAAAAAACACAUUGGCAUAUCCAUCAUUAUUCUAUUCUUUCUUUCACAUAUACUGUUUUCUUGAGGAGUGUAUGUAUUUGUCAACUGAUGCUCGAUCCCAGCAUUUUCGCAAAACCUUUGAAAGUUUUCAAAAGUGUCUUUAGUCUCAUUGUCUGACCUGAGUAUUCUUAGCUUGUAACAAGUUUGGUUUUCAACAUGUCACAUCUCAAAAACUGGGUUAGUAGAAAUUGGGUUAAUGAACUGAGAGUGGUCAUGACCAAACUUUUAUUUUGGUAAUCUUUUGCCCAUUUGAUAAUAAAGAAAUAUCAAUUAUAAUGAUUGAGUAGUGGUGGAGUUGUCCUUGUAUUUGAAUCCCUUCCCUUUUGUUAAUUUCUAUUUGGUAUAGAUUCUUUUAAACCCUUAGCAAAGGUUAUCCCAUGUUUUUAAAUAUUUUAUGUUAAAAUUAUCACAAGGAGUAAUGUGGUUAAGUGGUUGAGUGCUUAAAUAAAUUUCUAGAGGUCCAAUGUUCAAUUUUCCACACUCUCAAAUUUUUAUUUAAUUUUUUAACAACUUUUGCUAGUGUGAACACUCCUUACCAUCAAACCUAGUUACAACGCAUGGGGAAAGAUUCUUGAUUGUGUGUGAGUGUAUCUUUCCUCAUUAAGCCCACUUUUCACUCCCAUGAUCCCCUUUUUGCUCCAUUGUCCCCUCUAUAUGCCUAUUUUCUUCACCCUUAUCUUGUGUGUCAUACAUUGAACCUGGACAAGGUGAAUGACACCUUUUGUUGUCCAUCUUUUAUUUUCCUAUUCAUUUUUUCCACCCCCUCUUUUGCUCAUCCUUAUUUUCUCCCUUUUUUUCUUUUGUUUUAGCCAUCAACCACCAUUUGUAUUAUCUUUCUUCCUUUCCUCCACCACUUAUUUACCUUGAACCACCAUUGUCACCACAAGACCUCCACAUUGCCGCCACUUUUCUCCUCUAUUUUCUCCACCACCGCCCUAAGUGCCACCCUCCUCUGUUGUGACAACCACCUUGCAUCACCAAUUUUAAUACUCAUUUUUCUUUUCUUUCUUUUAUUUUCUCCUCCUUUUCGCAAGUGUCAAACCCCUUUCUUUUUUUAUUGUCUACCACCGUGAUUGCCACCGUGAAAACAACCGUAAAAUAAUAAUAUUUUUCCCUUCCUCUCUAUAGCGAUUUUAUUAUUUAUCAUAGUAGGAUUAUUUAUUAUUGUCUAUUAAUUCUUCUUAGUAUUGGAUAUCUUAGAUAUUGUGGCUAUUACUCCCAAAUCUCAGUCAUCUUGUCUUCCGUACCGAUUCCUAAAUAGUGGGAUCAAAAGUAUUUGGAAUACUUACUUUAUUCAAAACUUCUUAAUCCUUAUAUAGUGACUGAUUGCCAUCUUCCUAACUAGGUGUUUCUUAUUUGAAGGAUCGAUUUCAAGCAUAUAAUUUCCUAUGAUUCAAAUAAUGGAAUCAUAUUGGAUUAAUAAAGAGUAAGUAUUGUCAUAGAAGCCAAAGCGUAAUCAUUUAUCAAAGAUUUAUCAAGGGUGUUUUAAUGAUAGAUUAUUCGUUUUAUGUUUAGAUCUGAGAUAGAUCUAAAUAAAUUCAGAAGUGGGCAUCAGAAGGAGUUUUCGCAUUAGAAUUACUACGAUCAGGUGUGGGUUUUAACACUAAACAAAAUUAAGUCUUUAUUUUAUGUUGAUAAAAAAAUUAUUAUUUAAAUUAUGUUUUUUGAUGAUGAUACAUUAUGUAUCCAUAAAGAGAGAUAAACCCAUCGUUAUGGACUAUAUCAAGUAAAUGUUUUCCAAAUCGUAUAUGUUGUGAAAAGCAUGUUGUGUGAUAUUAAUGAUUAUUAUUGAUUUGAAAAAUAUGUAAAUCUCAUCUCAUGUUAUGUGAUCAUAUGGCAUCUGUGAUUUUUGCAUGAUUACAAAAUGUGAAAUUUUGGUACCAUGUGUACAUAUGUGAUUUGCAUGUUAAACAUGCGUAUAUGAAUUUGAGUGAUUUUGGCCAUAUCACAUGCAUUGGGUGGGAUAUGUGAAAGGUGGAAGUUAUUGGUAGUUUACUUGCUAUUUUUGUAGCUUGUCCACGAUAUUGAUUAUUGACUGUUUAUCUGCGAUUUUGGUAGCUUGUCUGCGAUUUUGGUAGCUUGUUCGCAAUAUUGAUUAUUGGUAGUUUAUUUGCGUUAUUGUGACACUAUUCACAAUUUGUUGUGUUAUUGGAUGGAAAAGUUCUGAGGAACUCGAUUUUUGUGUGUAGCAGAGAUGGGUAGGAUAGUUUUCACAAAAUCUGCAUCGUUCUACGAAAUGUGCAUUGACGUGAUCAUGCAUAGUAUAAGUGUGAAUUAUUGAGUUAUAUGAAAUUGAUAUGAUUAUUAUGAUUGUAUAACGUGUAUGUUUAUAUGUAUGUGAUUGUGUUUAUGUUAAUCUCACACUGAGCUUUAUACCUCAGCCCUUAUAGUUUUCUGAUGCUACAGAUAACCCCAAGGUUAGGAUUCGACGAUGACAUUUGGAGGAGUUUCUCGGAAGUCUUUUUAAAUUAAAGUAAUUAAAUUUUAUUUUGAUAUUUUAGGUUUGUAAUAAGUUUAUGUAUGGACUGUGGCAUGAGAUUUUAUUUUGGGGAUUUUUCAUUCUCAUUUGCAUAAAUUGCUUGCAUGACAUUAAGUUUUAAAAACUGCAUAAAUUAGUAUUUGAUAAGAUUUCGCUUGAAACUCAGUUUUUAAAAUAGAAUCUGUCAAUAACAUAUUUUUUCGCUGCAUUUUUGAAAAGUGAGCUUUCAAUAAAAUUAGACUAAGUUUUCAAAAUUAUUAAUGUUUACAAAUGAGUUUUCUAAAGGCAUUUGAUUUCUGAAGUUAAUAUACAAAUGAUUAGAAGUAUGAUUGAAAAUCUGAAAUACUUUGAAUAAAUGAUUGAAUGUCUACGAUUGAGAUAUUAAUUAUUUCAAUUCUUGAAAUUUGCAUAAUUUUUACGAAAUUAAAAUAAACACUUUACUUCAUUUGUUUUGAAUUGAUAAGCCAAUAGUUUUAAAAUAUUUUUCAAAAUUUUGAAAGAUUAUUUCGACCAUUUUCAUGGACAAAUGGAUUUAAAAUGCGAUUGAAAAUGAAUUUGAACAUUAGAUUUUACUAGUUUUGAACAAACUGCGCAAAUGGUUCAAAAAGUAUGUUUGAAAUUAAAAUUUUUUUUGAGCCAUUUCGGUAGCCAAUGUAGCUUUCUAAAUUCGGCCAUAACGACUGUGCCAGGUUUGGUGUGUUACACAGAAGCUUUAAACUUCUAAAAAGCCUCAGCAACUUCGGACUUGGCCUUCAAAAAAUACACCCAACAAUAUCUAGUGUAGUCAUCAAUAAAUAAAAUGAAGUAUCUGCUAUUGCUAAGUGAAGCAAUCUUCAUUGGUCCACAUACAUUAGUGUAAACUAAAUGUAGCUUCUCAGUAGCUCGUCAUGCCUUGUUGAUAAGAAAUAGAAGCCUUGCUUGCUUCCCAAACUGACAUACCUCGCACAUUGCAGUUCGCUCUGCAACAUUAGACAUGUUCUCAACCAAACCAUGCUUAUACAACAUAUUAAGUGACAUGUAAUUAAUAUGCCUCAGUCUCUUACACCACAAGUCAGUACCAUCAGUUGAACUAAAGUAGGCUUUAAAGGUAACUAAGUUCCAUUUUAGAACAAAGCUCAUAUCACUCAUUUUAACUCACAUAAGCUCAUGACCAGUUGAUUCAGAUACAUCACAUUUAUUCUUUUCAAAAACAACAGAAUAAUUCUUCUCAACAAGCUGACCAACACUGAGCAAGUUCUGAUCUAUAUUUGGUACAAAAAGAACAUCAGUAAUAACUUUUGUACCUGCAGGAGUGCUAACCUGAACAUCUCCCUUUCCCUUGGCUUCAAGGAUAUGGCCAUUUCUAACUCUGAUUCUCGAACAGAAGGCUCUAUCAAUCUCCUUGAACAUGCUUUCAUCUGAAACCAUAUUAUUUGUACAACUACUAUCAAUCAACUAGUUUUUCUUGACUUCGUUGUUGACUGCGAAGCAUGAGACAAUGAAUGCAAGCUCCUUCUAAGCUUGAUUUUCAUCAGCAGCUUGAGUCUGAUUAGACUGUUGCACUUUGUUUUUGCAAAUUGUAACAUCAUGGCCAAAUUGGUUGUAGUUUUUACACUGCACACCAGGUCUGGUCCAAUAAAAAUUCUCUGAAUGACCCAUCUUUUUACAAUUAGAGCAUGGUGGAUAUUUUUCCUUCUCACCAUCUCUUUUUGGCCUUUCUUUUGUUUGAUUCCUUUUCUUUUUGCCUUUGUUUCUUGAAGAGCUUAGACUCUCCUUGUUCCUUGCUUAGUAAGCACCUUCAGUGUACCCCUCUUUUCUACUUGCUAUUAUUUGCUCCUGUGCAUAUAGGGCAUUUAUGAGCUCUGAUAGAGAGAUUGUUGUCACGUCUCUCAAGUCCUCCAAGGAUGAGAUCCUGGACUCAUACUUUUUUGGCAGUGUUGUGAUGACUUUCUCAGCAAUCCUUCGAUCACUGAUCUGAUCGCUAAGCAUCAUUAUGUUGUUGACAAUAGACAUGAUCUUGUCUAUGUAUUACAUGAUUGUUUCAGUUUCUUUCUUGUUCAAGUUCUCAAUGUCUCUCCUCAAGUUCAAAAGUUGUUGCUGCCUUAUCUUCUCAGCCCAUUGGAACUCCUCCUUCAACUUAUCCUAGGCUUGUUUGGGAGUUUCACAAGCCAUGAUUCUUGUGAAAAUAACAUCAGACACACCACUUUCAAGGAAAGACAAAAUCUUAUAUUUUUUAACAGCCUCAUCAUUAUUUUGUCUAAUUUGAGCUAUAAUUGAAUUAGCUCGCAAAGAUGGUGGUUAUCUGUAUGAAUCAAAAGCUUCCCACAAUUCAUAUGCCUAAAGAUAUGUCUUCAUCUUCACUACCCAAAUAUAGUAGUUUUCUCCAGCAAAGAUAGGAGGUAGAGGGGGUGUAAAACUUCCAGAUGAUAUUGCAAUACAAACAAGAUACAAUCAACACUUUUUUAAAAAAGAAAACACUCACAAAACCCUUAAAGACUUAGGCUAUUGAUACCAAUUGUUGGUAUUUUUUAAGUUGAGAGAACAAAACAAAGAUAAUUAACAAGAAAUGCAAAAGGAACAUUUAGCAAAUUGAAUGAAUUGCUAUCAAUUUUUUCAUCAUAUUUUCAUUCCAGAAUAUUAGAAUAUAUAAGAGAAACGGUUACAAGUUAUCAACUAAUCCUAUCAAAUCGUCUUGGAAAAAUAAAGAUAAAACUUGUACACUAACUGAUUAGUUAAAUCAUUACUUAAAAACAUCAAUUCAAUACUAAAUUUGCUUGUUUUAAUAAGUAAUAUCAACAAGCAACCAAAAACAAAAAUCAAUUUCAACACAUGCGAACCCAUCUUGCACUUCAUCUUGCACUUCACCAAAAGUCUUGACAGCUCGCAGCUUCCAAUUAGCUCGUAACUUCAAGUGAGCUAGCAAUUUUGGCAGAGCUCGUAGUUUUGUUUGAGCUCACAACUUUGAGUGGGCUCGUAGUUUCCAAUGAGCUCACAUCUUUAGAACUUGCAAGUUUAAAUGAGCUCACAGCUUCACAGCCUAAGUUUGCCAUUGCAUAAAUGGUCACUUCACAACAGUUGGUAUGUGGAUUGUGUCAGACUCGACCUUUGGUCUACCCUUCUUGCUUUCAAUGGUCUCUUGUUUCUCUUCUUUAUUGCAUUUUGUAGUGGAAUAGAAAGAAGAAUAUCUAAGCUUAAAUAGACCAAUGGUUGCUUCUCAUUGAAGUAGCAAAGAGGUUUUAAGUGGAAAACUUGAUAAAAUUUACUUAUAGUCCAUCUUCAUUUAUUAGAAUUUCAUUUUCAUCCACAAUAUUUAAAAAUCACAUUUAUAAUCAUAACUUUUUUUAAAAAUUCACAAUUCAUGCCGUGUUGUUUGUUAAAUGCUUAAACAAAAAAUUGACUCGUAUUUUUCUCACUUAAGUACUUAAACUAUUUUUUUUUGUCUAAAAUGAUAUCUAAAUUUUAACUCUGAUACUAAUUUUGGUCUAAACCAUUAAAUUCAUUAAAAAAAUCUCAUAACCAAUCAAAGUAUGUGCCUCCCUGAUAACAGUGACUAAGAAGAGCUGUGAGGAAAAGGAAAGAAUAUGAGAUUUCUCUUUAUAUGUCAUUUAUAAGGGAAGAAUAAACUAAUCAAUGGAAUUUCUUUUUCUUUUUCUUUUUUUUCACAAAACUCAUUUAGCUUGUCCAACUUUUGGAUUUCUCAUUUUUUUUUCUUUUUUCCUCCUUUAAUUUAUUAUUAUUAUUAUAAAACCCAAAAUCUUUAACUUGUCCAUGAAUGAUGAAUACAAUUUAUGUUUAUAGUUCAUAUUUUAUAAAUUGUAAGAUAUUUAAUGUUUUCUAAUCUUAUUUAAUUAAAUUCUUUUCAUGAGAGUGUGAACAAGAGUAUUCACACAUAUAUGACCGGCCUUUCCCUUCUUGCCAAGACCUAAAAAACCAUGAGUAACCACCAAAAUCUUUCCCUUUUCCCUCACAGCUACUCCUCGCCUCUGUUAAGAAGGAAGAAGAACAUGAAAGUGGGAUAGGGAAAAAAUAUUUAAUCUAAUUUAAUUCAUUUAAUAUUAAAUUUAAUUUUUUAUUUAAUUAAAAAAGACUUAAAUAUAAAAUAGAUACCUAAACUUAUCAACUUCUCCAAAAUUAGUAAUUAAGAUUUUUUCCCCCAAAUUGGGAUCAAAAUUUUUUUCCGUCAACUAAAUCAGUAUUCUUUUGUAACAUCGUUAAAUUCGAGAUGGGUGGUAGAAUAGGAUUAUGUCACGUGACAUUUAUGACAUCAUGAUAAUGUCAUAAUCUAAAAAAUAUAUUUAAAAUUAAUAAAAAUAUUUAAAAAAAUAAAAAUCUAAAAAAUAUAUUUAAAAUCAUAACGUUCAUCGACAUUGUAUACAUAUAUUGGAUUCCAACUCAAUCAACAAACAAAGAUAUGUUAGAAUUCACCCUUCCAACCCUUCCAAGCAACCAUAACUCAAUAAAGUUAAAUUACUGCAUAAAGUGAGUAGGUGAACUAGAACAACAUGAUCCAAGUUUCCAAGUUCUUAUCAUGAUGUAGAUCAUUCAUUUACUAACUUUAAGUACCUAUAUCUCGAAUAUAUACAGAUCUUAUAAAAAAAUCAUAUCUUAAAAAACAACUAACAAAUUGAAAUGUAAUAAACAUCAUAUUCGAAAUCAUGGAUUUCAACUAUUGUUCAUCACAAACACGAAAUUACUGUUUACUCAGAUCUGGAAAAAUCCCAAUUUAAGGAUUCAUAUAGAUAACUGGAACAAAACAUACCUCACCAUUUAGGUGCCUUUCAACUAGAGUUAUAUCUUUAAAAAUUCAGAUAUGAAAAUUUCAUAAAAAAUCAUAAAAUCUAUGGAGGGAGUAACCUUCAACAUUGAAGAGGACUAUGAUUUCGAGAGCUACCACUACGAGAAGGAGAGAAGGGGAGAAAGAUCUAGAGCGAGAAUGAUAGCUAGACGGGGAAGCAGAUUUGGAGCGGGACACGGAAUGAGAGCGAGAACUGGACUUGGAGUCUAAACUGGAAUAAGAGUAGGAGCGAGACCUAGACCGUGAAUGAGAACGAGAAGAGGAACUGGAGCCAGAGACAGAAGGAGAACGCCGACCUCUCAUCGGCUUCGCUAUUGGUGGAAUACAAAGAGAAGAACGAUAGAAAUAGGAAAUCUUUUUUUUUUUAGAUUUUUUAUUUUUUAAAAUAUUUUUAUUUAUUUUUAAAUCCUAUUCUUCCACUUGUUCUGAACUUCACAGCGUUAAAAAAAUGUAUUGAUUUAGUUAACGGAAGAAAAAU
Molecule: long non-coding RNA, 48487 nt
Filed under: Gossypium raimondii (Peruvian cotton)
Lineage: Eukaryota; Viridiplantae; Streptophyta; Magnoliopsida; Malvales; Malvaceae
Description: long non-coding RNA (GRAI_LNC003819)
Source: RNAcentral